This 57823-nucleotide long non-coding RNA is filed under the name Brassica napus (rape). RNAcentral describes it as "long non-coding RNA (BNAP_LNC003521)". The record is from RNAcentral. Lineage: Eukaryota; Viridiplantae; Streptophyta; Magnoliopsida; Brassicales; Brassicaceae.
ACACCUCCUUCUUGUGUUGACACUCAGCAGGUAAAAUGGUUGACACCACGUCCUGAUCCCUUAGAUCAAGCCACCUAGAGCUUUUCGGUCGAUUUACGCGAUUUCGGUCCUUCUGGUGAAUUUGCGUCCCGCGUUCAAUCUCGGAUAUUUUUCCGCUACCAUUCUGAUGAGCUGAAUAUUUUUUAUAGACUCCAGACUAACCUUAACCUUGAGGAUACAAAUUUACCAAGCCUUCGGCUUCCCCGAGAAAUUCGAUAAAACCGAAAUUAGGGUUUUUUUUUUUAAGAUGGAGUAUUACUCACACGAUAUCUCCACCGUGUCUUGCUUGAAUCCAAGCUCUUCUGCUAAUCCCCUUAACCACAUUUCUUCUUUGACUGCUUCAUCCAGCAUUAUAUACUUCCCUUCGGUCAUUGACAGAGCCACUACACUUUGUAAACUUGAUGUUCGGCUGAUUGUAUUCCCACCAGUCAUGAAAACAUAACCUGAGAUAGACCUUCUCUUGUCCAGAUCUGAAGCUAAAUCAGAAUCACAGAAACUUUCAACCAUAAACACCUCAUUUUUCCUGAAGUACAGUUUCAGAUUUUGUGUUCCCUUCAGGUAUCUCAAUACCCACUUAACCGCAGUCCAGUGAACCAUCCCAUGCUUGCUCAUAUACCAGCUAACCAACCCAAAUGCAUAUGACAGAUCACCCCACGUACCUAUCAUAGCAUACAUUGUGCUUCCGAUAGCAUUAGCGUAUGUAAUAUCAUCCAUACAUGUCUCUACUUCAUCAUCAUCUACGGCAGACAAUUUGCGUUGACACACACUGACUCAUCCAUGUCGAAUACCCUGAGAAUAUUCUUGAUAUAACCAGAUUGAGAUAGUGUCAGAAUCUUCUUUCCAUGAUCUCUCUCAAUAUUCGUUCCCGAAAUUCGCCUUGCGGGAUCUAAGUCAUUCAUCUCAAAUCUGCCGCUAAGUACCUGCUUUACCUUCAUGAUUUCUACUGCAUCCCUUGACGCAACCAACUUAUCAUCCACAUAUAACAAUAGAUAGAUGUAUGUACCCUUGGUUACCUUAUUGAUAUAAACACAGUGAUCAUAUUCACUCUUCACAAAUCCAUGACUAACCACAAACUAACCAAAACACUUGUUCCAUUGUCUUGGUGCCUACUUUCGUCCAUGUAAAUCUCUUCUUGUCCACAAUAUCUUCUCCUUUAACCUGAAACCGUUCUGGUUGCUCCAUGUAAAUCUCUUCUUCAAGUGUACCAUGAAGAAACAUAGUCUUUACAUCAAGUUGCUUAAGCUCCAAAUCCAGAUACACUGAAAUUGACAACAAGAACCUUAUGGAUAUAUGUUUUACGACGGGUGAUAUACUAUGGAUUUUACCCAUUUUUAGCCAUGAUAUAUAAGUGUUUUAGGAACUAUCUAUGUUGUUUUCAAGGAUUUUUAGCACUUUUACAAGUUCAUGGGUGAUUUGGAGAAAAUGAUGAUUUCGGUGUAUUUUGGAGAUAAAAUGAGAAAAAGCUCGAAGCUGACCAUCAAACCCGUUCGAGGUCGACAUUCGGAUAGGGAAGCGUGCAAAGCUUAGCCGGCUUAAAAUCUAAGUCAAGACAUAUUUACGUAAAUGCCCUGGCGACUUUUAACCUAAUAUUUAUGUGUUCUGCCAUUGUACUAGGCAAUACACACUUUCUUUACUUUCUAGUUUUUACACAGCAAACUAUUCCUAAGUUUUUUAGUAGAUUUGGAGAGAAGAUCCAAGACUCCUUUAGAGAUUUGUAUUGCAACUUCAGUAUUUCUAACUUUAAUCUAUUUAUGAAUCUUUUAUUGAUUACUGUUAUGAAUUGUUUUGCUAUGUCUGAGUAGUUCUCCUUGUUAGGUUUAGGUUCAAAUAGGAUUAUGAAGGAUUAGCCCCAAAUAUAGAAUUGGUGAGUUGUUUGUGAUAUUCAUCAGUUGAAUUGCUCUUAUUGCUUGUGUUCUAGAGUAGCUAACUAGAACCCUGAAUUUUGGAUAAUCGGGCGCAAACAGAAUUUGAUCUAGGAAACCUAGUGAACAUAGUUCAAACCCGCUCGAUAAAGCUUGCUGGAAGGUAAAUCGAUCGACAACGCUCCUUUUCAUGAUUUAGCAACAACAUCUCGUGGGAAAAAUUUAGUAAAAGGAUUCACUAGGUUGUCAGCCGAUUUGAUGUAGUCUAUUGUGAUUAAACCAGAUGAGAUAAGUUGUCUAAUAGUUUUAUGUCGUCUUUUGAUGUGAUGAGAUUUACCAUUGUAUGCGUAUAGCUGGCAUAUGUUUCUCCCACAUAGAAAUAUCUUCCAAAGAAAUUUCUAAGCCAUUCAGCUUCUUCUGCUGCUUUUUCUAAGGCUAUGAACUCAGAAUCUAUGGGGGAUCUGGCUAACACUGUUUGUUUGAUAGAUUUUCAUGAUAAUUUUUCUCCUCCUAGUGUAAAGACAUAUCCACUUGUAGAUUUUGAGUUUUUAGAAUCGGAUAUCCAGUUAGCGUUAUUGUAUUCUUCUAAACUGUUGGUUCUUUACUCUAGUGAGGCCCAAAAUCUUUGGGUACUCUCGUUAUAGCUUUCCAGUGUUUGUGACAAGGAUUACUUGGAUAUCAACUCAGUAUGUUUACUGUGUGCGCUAGAUCUGGUCUAGUAGAAUUGGUUAAGUACAUGAGACUAUUCGAUCAAACGUGCAUACUCGUUUUGUGACACUGAUUCACCUGAAUUCUUUGUUAAGUGAAGUAAAGGAUCUAACGGAGUUUUUUGCCGUACCAUUAGAGUAAUUUUUAAAUCUCUCUAAUAUUGUUUGAGCAUAAUGAAAUUGGGUUAAGAUAAUUCCGCUUGAAUUUCUUGUGACUUUACAUCUGCUAAUCUCAAGUCUUUCAUCUCAAAUUUUCCUUUGAACAUGUUCUUUGUUUGAUUGAUAAUAUCUUUAUUACUUCCAAUAAUGAUCAUAUCAUCUACAUAUAGACACAACAAAACAUACAUAUUUUUGGUAGUUUUGUAGUAUAUGCAUUUGUCACAUUCAUUAAUUUUGAAACCAUUUGACAUCAUUGUAUUGUCAAAUUUUUUGUGCCAUUGUUACGAACUUGUUUAAGCCUAUAAAGUGACUUUACAAGUUGGCAUACUCUGUCAUCAUAUACAAGAAUGACAAAACCCUCAGAGAUUGUUUCAUGUAAAUUUCCUCUUAUAAAUCAUCAUUUAGAAAGAAAAAAAAACAGUUUUUACAUUUAUUUGAUGGAUUUCGAAGUCUCUUAAAGAUGUGAUUGCUAUCAUCAGUCUUAUUGAUUAUCAAAUAUAUUUUUUUAUGAAUUAUCAUCGAUUGUUAUUUCUUAUCAUAAAUUUUCUUAUUUUUUCAAAAAUUCUUUUUCUAAAUAUAAAAUAUACAUGUUUUCUAAACUUUAAAAAAUAUAUAUAAUUAUUUGGUAUUAUAAUAGCUCUUUAAUUUUUUUAAUAAUGAUUUUUUCAUACUGUGUUGUUUUACUUGUUUUUAUUUUAAGUUUUCCAUGAUCUUUUUCACAUGAAAUUAAUUGUCUCAAGUUAUUCGUCUACUAUUUUGUGAUUUGUUUUUAAUUUUUGGUUUACUAUCCUUUUCUUAACAGUUACAAAGUAAGUGUGUGUGUUGUAUAAAUGUAUUUUAUACAUAUAUUUAAUAAUCUUAUCAACGUAUAUAGUAUUUCUAAAUUUGAAUUUUAUGAAGUAAAAUUAUUGAUAAUCUAUGUCCUUAUAGCUAGAUAAUUUAAUAGAAUUAUAAAAUCAAUGAAAACUAAACUUUUGACUAACAAAGAAUUUAACAUAGAAUUAAAAAUUUAUUAAACCAUAACAAAUAAUUUUACUAAUAUUUUAAAAAUCCAUAAAACUAUCAAUGAAAUCUCAAUUUUUUUUUUAAAAAAAUAUCUUUUAAAAUUCAUCUACCAAUCUGAAAGUGUAUAUACGCUAACAAAUAGGCACUACAAAUUCAAACAGAGAGCAUUACAUUUUGACAUACUUUGGGUUGUGUUUUUUACACUUUGACAUACUUUAAACUUGUAGAGUACGUUGAGUAUAGAAGUUGUCUUCAGUCUAACCAAAAUAACCUUAAUGAAAUUCUGGAUACGAAGUCGACGUAGUUGUGUAUAUGAAAUCAAUGAAAUUGUGGAUGUGAACAUGGUUGAGGGAUGGUGAAAGGUUUUUUAGUUGUGGUGAAGAGUAGUAUGAUUAUGAAUAUGGGAGGGCAUGUCGCGGUGGAUAGGAGAUUUGAAAAAGAAAGAUAUGGAUGGAGGCAUGUGGUCAUGGAUAGCGGAUGAGAGAUGAUUAAGGUUUUAGUGGAUGUGGUCAAUAGUGGUGUAGACAGGUGAUGGGUGAAGGUUUUGUUGGUUAAGACUACUCGAUUUUGGGAUUCUGAACCACCAUAAAACACUCCAUGAUCCAUGACCGCUGAGCAUCAUCACCAUAUGACCCUCCAUGCCUCCAUGAUUGCUAACCACUUCUUUAACCACCACAACUUUCAUAUCCACAUUCACAAGCUCCACUUCCUUUAUUAGCUCCUCCACCAUCACCUCCUCCAUUCACUCCGACUUCUGAUCCACCUCCACGGCUCUACCUCCCGAUCUUCCUCCUCCAUUCAUCCCGACUUCUGAUCCACCUCCACGGCUCCACCUCCAGCUCUUCCUCCUUCACCACCACCAUAAGACCUUACCUCUACUGGCCCCACAGCAUGGCCACUAUAACAAUUAGGUGCUCCACCGUAACCACGUUUCCACCUUAUCCUCUCCACUAACAUCCCCACUUCCACCUUAUUCUUUUCUACUAGCGACCCUUAUCAGAUUGUAUGAAACAUCGGCGUGAAAACUGUAAUCGCUAUAGAGUAGAUGUGGCGGAUUAGGGUUUUAAGGAUCAAUGAAAAAAGAGAUUUUAGGCUAUAAAAUUUUUUUGGGAAAUUUACAAGCACAAAGUAUCUCACAUGCUGAAAGUAUGAGUGGAUGUAAAUCCCCUAUACAUUAUUUGAAAAGUAAUUUUGUCACAUGUCAUUUCUACAAUCAUUUUUACAAAAAUAAUAUGACAUAGCUACUAAAAUUAAUGACAUGGCUUAUAGCUUAAUAUAACAUGGACAAUUAUAUUUAAUGUUAAUUUAUAUUUUUGUUAAUUUUUUUAAAAUAUAGUAAUAACUCAUAUAUUACAUUUAAUGUCGAUUUAUAUAUUUGGAAAAAAAAUUAGAAUCCCUUAUAUACUAGAUCACAAGUCACUCGACCAAUUCUAUUUCACCACCUAAAUAAUUCUUUUUUUUUUCAAAAACAAAUAUUGAAAAGAAAAAAACAAUCGAAACAAACACUUUAUUUCUUCCCUCACUUCAGAAAAAAAAAAAAAAAGCAAACUUAUUGUAUCAGCAUCAACCAUUACGUACAUGCACAACCAUGAUCGCCACCACCUCCUCCAUUACAUCAACCUUAAAUGAAUAACUUCUACAAAAAUAAAAUUACUUCAAACUGUUUACUUCAUCCACGAAGUCACAGAAAUGAUUUCAUCUCUCCCAUUCUUUUGAUUUGGAAGCGACAACAUCAUAUCUUCUUUUCUUUUUUCUUCUCUUGAUAAAGACUAUUCUUCAAUCUAAUGGUUUUUGAAGUUAGGGAAACGAUAAAAAUUGUGUACAAAAUAAUUCUGCAAAAUAUUAAGCAAAACUUACAGAUGGUUUACAAAAAUUCACAAGUAUACAUUGGUAGGUGGUGCAUACGAGUUCGUAUUAUAGUUAUUUAGCAAAUGAUUUAGCAUUAAAGUUAUGUCUCAACAUUUAGUUAUUUGAUGUUGUACAGUUUUGAAUUCUUUUUAGUUUGUUUUGUAGAAGAACCGAUGUUACCACAUCUUCACACGGCCAUGACUUUCUUCCUCUGAACAAAGCUCUCGACUAAAAACGAAAGUCAAUAAGCAGACUAAUUAAAAGUGAAAUGAAGAGGUAUGAAUGUCAGAAAAAUCAAACUUAAUUACAAGAAGAUUCUCUGCUUAGAUUGAAGAAACAAAACGAGAUAUUCUAGAUUAAAGUCGACACAACUAAAGAAGAAUGGAAGAGAAGGAAGACUCUCAACUCACAUACCGCUCACGUUUUGAUAAAUAGGUCAGAUGCAACCUUUUAACCAUUCAAAGGAGCAUUAAACAAAACUUUGCCAAUGAAUUAUUUUUCUCUCUUUAAACAUCAAUAAAUGUAAAAAAAACAUUUUAUGCUUGAAAUUUCUUAAAUAUCAAAUUUGUACAACCUUUAAGUGACUAUUUUGAACAGUAUUUUAUGUAAUAAACUAGAGGUUGGCCCGCCCUACGGGCGGGUGAUUUUACACUAAAAUAAUUUUAUAUCAAAAUAAAUUUUUAUGUUAUAAAAUAUUUGAAAUUUUAUUUUUUACUGGAUAUAAUAAAUGUAAUCUCUUUUUAUUCUAAAAUUAUAUUUUAAAUUUUAUUAGAUUUUUUUGGUUUUGAAUUAAAAAGACCACUAACAAUUCUAUUUUGUCAGAAAACACAAAAUUAUUAAAUUAAAAAUUAAGGAAAAUAUAAUUUUUUAUAUUUUUAAUACCGCAACUGCAACCGCAACCACUGCGUUUGAACCAGUCAGGCCCUUACUUAGACUCGCGAGGAGCCAAUAUUACACUCGCACUUGUUUAAGUCAUAAUAAACACUCGUUAAAAAAAAAAAAAAAUCCUCGAAGCAAUGAGCCAGCUUUACUUUAAUUAAAAUGAAUCCCGUUUAAGUCAUAAUAAAUACUAUUAAAAAAGUUACAUGGCUGAAUUAAUGCAAAACUAUAUCCUCAUUACAGGAAAGAAUCAAAAGUUGACUAUUAAGCGUUCCUUUUCAAAGAUUACAACAUUAAGACUACUAGGUGACCGGUGCGGGCAUAAGAACAUGAUCGGUCCGCACCCUGUGUUCUCGGUCCGUACUUCAGGAGAGGGAACACAGUAACGCCAGUAUGAAGAGGCAGAUAUUGUGUGUAUGUAUAAUUGCAACGUCACAAAAUAUUUGGUGUGUUUACGAAGAUACUUUCAUUCAAAAAAUGGAAUAAAUAGUGUAUAGUUUUAGAAGUAACAAAUUUUAUAUUAUCAUUGAUUAGAAUUGUAUUGUAUAUGUUUCGUAAUUCUUUAUUUUAGGUGAAUAAUAUUAUUUUUCCAUAAAUAAUAAACAAACAUUUAUGUAGACAUAUUAAAAGAAAAUAUAAUAAAAAUCAAAAUAUUAUCCAUAAAUAAUAUAAAUUAUGAAGUACAUUUCUCGAUAAAGAAAGCAAAUUCAAUUAGAAACUUGCAAAAAAUUAAAUAAAUUUUGUAAGCAAUUUGACGGGUUAACAUUAUUUGAUAGAUUUAUAAAUUUCUAAAUUUUAUUGAACAUGAAAUAAUAUUAAAUUGACAUACCGUCAUCGAAAUAGUAGAAAUACUUGAUUCGUAAGCUGUGAAGGUAUACCGCGCAUCCGCAAAAUACUCCUCCGGAACUUCACUCGGAAAUUCAUCAGUUGUUCCAACAAAAUUUGUUUGAAAGAAGCCAAUUUUGUACGGAUGCGCGGUUGUGUGAUAAUCACCAAUAGCAUCGUACAAUUUGAAUAAGUGGACAACCUUUGCAUCGCCCUCGGUUAGUUUCCCUUCAAAUUGUUUGAUGAGCUAUUCACCAACUGAAGCAUGAAUUCUUGUCCCCUACAGAAGAUGAGAUAAAGUUAUAUGAGUUGGAUUGAGAACAAAAGACUAAAGACGAUUAUGAGUUGUAAAAAAUGUAGUAAUCUACUUACUUCUUUAUCAACGAAAACCAUUUCGAUGGUGUUUCCGGAAUCUUUGUUGUAAUUUCUCCACAAGUGAAGAAUCCUAACCUCAAUACGUCAUGUAUCUUUACAUGGUUUUAAUUGCCUGAUAAAAGACACUCGNNNNNNNNNNNNNNNNNNNNNNNNNNNNNNNNNNNNNNNNNNNNNNNNNNNNNNNNNNNNNNNNNNNNNNNNNNNNNNNNNNNNNNNNNNNNNNNNNNNNNNNNNNNNNNNNNNNNNNNNNNNNNNNNNNNNNNNNNNNNNNNNNNNNNNNNNNNNNNNNNNNNNNNNNNNNNNNNNNNNNNNNNNNNNNNNNNNNNNNNNNNNNNNNNNNNNNNNNNNNNNNNNNNNNNNNNNNNNNNNNNNNNNNNNNNNNNNNNNNNNNNNNNNNNNNNNNNNNNNNNNNNNNNNNNNNNNNNNNNNNNNNNNNNNNNNNNNNNNNNNNNNNNNNNNNNNNNNNNNNNNNNNNNNNNNNNNNNNNNNNNNNNNNNNNNNNNNNNNNNNNNNNNNNNNNNNNNNNNNNNNNNNNNNNNNNNNNNNNNNNNNNNNNNNNNNNNNNNNNNNNNNNNNNNNNNNNNNNNNNNNNNNNNNNNNNNNNNNNNNNNNNNNNNNNNNNNNNNNNNNNNNNNNNNNNNNNNNNNNNNNNNNNNNNNNNNNNNNNNNNNNNNNNNNNNNNNNNNNNNNNNNNNNNNNNNNNNNNNNNNNNNNNNNNNNNNNNNNNNNNNNNNNNNNNNNNNNNNNNNNNNNNNNNNNNNNNNNNNNNNNNNNNNNNNNNNNNNNNNNNNNNNNNNNNNNNNNNNNNNNNNNNNNNNNNNNNNNNNNNNNNNNNNNNNNNNNNNNNNNNNNNNNNNNNNNNNNNNNNNNNNNNNNNNNNNNNNNNNNNNNNNNNNNNNNNNNNNNNNNNNNNNNNNNNNNNNNNNNNNNNNNNNNNNNNNNNNNNNNNNNNNNNNNNNNNNNNNNNNNNNNNNNNNNNNNNNNNNNNNNNNNNNNNNNNNNNNNNNNNNNNNNNNNNNNNNNNNNNNNNNNNNNNNNNNNNNNNNNNNNNNNNNNNNNNNNNNNNNNNNNNNNNNNNNNNNNNNNNNNNNNNNNNNNNNNNNNNNNNNNNNNNNNNNNNNNNNNNNNNNNNNNNNNNNNNNNNNNNNNNNNNNNNNNNNNNNNNNNNNNNNNNNNNNNNNNNNNNNNNNNNNNNNNNNNNNNNNNNNNNNNNNNNNNNNNNNNNNNNNNNNNNNNNNNNNNNNNNNNNNNNNNNNNNNNNNNNNNNNNNNNNNNNNNNNNNNNNNNNNNNNNNNNNNNNNNNNNNNNNNNNNNNNNNNNNNNNNNNNNNNNNNNNNNNNNNNNNNNNNNNNNNNNNNNNNNNNNNNNNNNNNNNNNNNNNNNNNNNNNNNNNNNNNNNNNNNNNNNNNNNNNNNNNNNNNNNNNNNNNNNNNNNNNNNNNNNNNNNNNNNNNNNNNNNNNNNNNNNNNNNNNNNNNNNNNNNNNNNNNNNNNNNNNNNNNNNNNNNNNNNNNNNNNNNNNNNNNNNNNNNNNNNNNNNNNNNNNNNNNNNNNNNNNNNNNNNNNNNNNNNNNNNNNNNNNNNNNNNNNNNNNNNNNNNNNNNNNNNNNNNNNNNNNNNNNNNNNNNNNNNNNNNNNNNNNNNNNNNNNNNNNNNNNNNNNNNNNNNNNNNNNNNNNNNNNNNNNNNNNNNNNNNNNNNNNNNNNNNNNNNNNNNNNNNNNNNNNNNNNNNNNNNNNNNNNNNNNNNNNNNNNNNNNNNNNNNNNNNNNNNNNNNNNNNNNNNNNNNNNNNNNNNNNNNNNNNNNNNNNNNNNNNNNNNNNNNNNNNNNNNNNNNNNNNNNNNNNNNNNNNNNNNNNNNNNNNNNNNNNNNNNNNNNNNNNNNNNNNNNNNNNNNNNNNNNNNNNNNNNNNNNNNNNNNNNNNNNNNNNNNNNNNNNNNNNNNNNNNNNNNNNNNNNNNNNNNNNNNNNNNNNNNNNNNNNNNNNNNNNNNNNNNNNNNNNNNNNNNNNNNNNNNNNNNNNNNNNNNNNNNNNNNNNNNNNNNNNNNNNNNNNNNNNNNNNNNNNNNNNNNNNNNNNNNNNNNNNNNNNNNNNNNNNNNNNNNNNNNNNNNNNNNNNNNNNNNNNNNNNNNNNNNNNNNNNNNNNNNNNNNNNNNNNNNNNNNNNNNNNNNNNNNNNNNNNNNNNNNNNNNNNNNNNNNNNNNNNNNNNNNNNNNNNNNNNNNNNNNNNNNNNNNNNNNNNNNNNNNNNNNNNNNNNNNNNNNNNNNNNNNNNNNNNNNNNNNNNNNNNNNNNNNNNNNNNNNNNNNNNNNNNNNNNNNNNNNNNNNNNNNNNNNNNNNNNNNNNNNNNNNNNNNNNNNNNNNNNNNNNNNNNNNNNNNNNNNNNNNNNNNNNNNNNNNNNNNNNNNNNNNNNNNNNNNNNNNNNNNNNNNNNNNNNNNNNNNNNNNNNNNNNNNNNNNNNNNNNNNNNNNNNNNNNNNNNNNNNNNNNNNNNNNNNNNNNNNNNNNNNNNNNNNNNNNNNNNNNNNNNNNNNNNNNNNNNNNNNNNNNNNNNNNNNNNNNNNNNNNNNNNNNNNNNNNNNNNNNNNNNNNNNNNNNNNNNNNNNNNNNNNNNNNNNNNNNNNNNNNNNNNNNNNNNNNNNNNNNNNNNNNNNNNNNNNNNNNNNNNNNNNNNNNNNNNNNNNNNNNNNNNNNNNNNNNNNNNNNNNNNNNNNNNNNNNNNNNNNNNNNNNNNNNNNNNNNNNNNNNNNNNNNNNNNNNNNNNNNNNNNNNNNNNNNNNNNNNNNNNNNNNNNNNNNNNNNNNNNNNNNNNNNNNNNNNNNNNNNNNNNNNNNNNNNNNNNNNNNNNNNNNNNNNNNNNNNNNNNNNNNNNNNNNNNNNNNNNNNNNNNNNNNNNNNNNNNNNNNNNNCCGCUACCACCCGCAAACGCAGCUUUUGCGGUUGGUAGCGGUUGUCGGCGGUUUGCAACAAUCACUCAAAUCGCUCUAAACCGCUUCAAACCGCUCCGAAUCUCAUAAAUUCAAAAGCUGGCUCCAGCUAGCGUUUGCGGUUGCAGGCGGUUGCGGGAGGGUAAAAUUUUUUUCUUUUUUUAAAAAAAAUAUAUAUACAAAAGCAAAAAUAUUUAAUAAAAAAUUUAAAAUUUAAAUUAUGAAAAUAUUAAAAUAUAUCUAUUAUAUUUUAAUUAAUAUUAUAAAAUUUAAUAAUAAAAACAAUUUCAAAAAAUUUUCAAAAAAUUAAAAUUAUAACUUUCUAAAUAUAAAUUUUAUAUUUAUUAUAAUUUUAUGAUUUUUGAUAUUUUUAUAAUUAUAUUAAAUGUAAAUAUUGUUAAUUUAUUAUUUGACUGUUACCGCAUUUGGUAGUUAACCAGUCAUAAGUCACCCGCAAACGCACCAAUUUUUAACUGCAAUACCAGUCGUACAAAUCUCUUAAAAUCGCUAGAAACCGCAACCUCCCGCAUGCACAAACUCCCGCAACCGCAACCGCAACCACUGCGUUUGAACCAGUCAGGCUCUUAAUCAUUUCAAUUCUGAAAAACCGGUAUGACAGUUUUAUGAACUAACACCUUCAUAAACUAUUUUAAAAUACCAUAUUAGUUAAAUAAUAUAAGAUUUUACAAUGUAUAGUUUUUGAUAUUAAGAUAGGAAAAUAUUUUUUUCAAUAAUUUUGAAAAUUUUAAUUUCCAAAACUUGUGAAACUCAUUAAUACCUUGAAAAUAUAAGUUAAAUAUGGCUUUUUGUUGUUUGUUGCUGGCAAGUUUGCAAAAACCUGUUGACUGACAAUUUCGUAUUUUCUAGGUGGAAAUACAGUUCAAUCUCGUGAUCGUUUAUAAAUUUUUGCGUGGCAAUUUUCAAGACGAAUUUGAUGUGUUAAUCAAAUCAUACUUGUUUAAUGUUUAUGUUCUUCGUGUUUCUUAUCCUUUUCGAGUUGGUUUGAUUUAAUAAAGUUUCGUUUUCUCUCUUUUCUCCUCUAUGUUUCAAAUCAAAUCCCAUUUGAUACUCAAGAUAUGUUACUCUAGCUGGUUAUGCUCAGUCUUUAUUCUCGAGAUGGAAUCAAUCUUUGUAGUUAUCCUGACAUAUGCAAAGUCUCCAAAUCAGUUUAAGGAAUGAGCUGUUGGUUUUAUUUUCAUGGUUUUAUAUAGAUUCAGCAGAAAUUUUAUUUUAUAGGUUAUAAAUAUUAAAAGUAAUAAAUAAAACAUUAUUAGUCUUUCAAUAAUUUCGAGAAUAGUUUCCAUAAAUUGUUAUUUGUAAUAUUCGUUAGAUUAUAUGGCAAGUGAUGUUAAACGUCAAUAAGUUAAACAAUUCUUCCAUAUUUGGAAAACAUAUAUAUAUAUAUAUAACAAUGACAAAUUAAAUGGUAGAGUAUGUAAACACAUGUUUUCUACCAGCGUGAGUUAGAACACCGCCGUAUUUAAGAAUCAUAAGGGCCUCUACAGGUCUUUAUUCUUCGCCUUCACCAUCCCACUUCAGCGGCUUUAGUUGAACCUUCAUGUAUUUCCCUGAGAAAUUUCCUCUCUGCGCCAUUCCAAAAGGUUUUCUGCUGUGUGAAAAUGACCUCAUAAAUUAAAUAAAAAAUGCAUAAUGUUAGCUUACUUAUAAGAUAGUAUAUUCAACAAAAAAAAAUGAUAUAAGAUAAUAUUACUAAAUGAUACUAUGUAAUACUUUCCCGGACAAUAUUCAACAAAGAGAGAGAGAAAGUACUAAAGAACCUCUUCAAGAACUGCUUUAACUUGGCGAAGCUUCUCAGCAUGUUCAAUCAAGGUUUUCUGGAUCACUAUCACUCUCACGACCUGGUCUACAUAUAAAAAAAGGAAGACCAUAUUGUCGUUACCAGUAUUCAACACAUGGAAAAGAUAGACCAGACAUGCUUUUUGGAGACAAGACACAAAGAGUUGAGUUCAGGGUUCUAAAGAUGAGGAGCCUUUGCGUCUAAACACAUUUUUCUUAGCACACAAGCAGCAUUGUCGUAAUACCUUAAUAGUAUGAGAGGAGAGAUUUGUGAAUAAUACUUUAAAGAAUGAAAAGAGAAUGUUUGUAUUUUAAGACCUUGGGUGUCUCCUAUAUAUAUACAGUCGAUUUAUUCUCAUAUUAAUGAUUUUAAUAUUUUGCACAAUAAAUAAUAAAAUCGUUUAAAGAAAGAUAUUAAAUGUGUAUUGUCAAAAAAUGAUUUGCAUAUGAUAUGAUUUUAACUUGCGCAAGUAAUCCAUAUUAGAAAGGUAAGUUAUUAAAAACAAACAACCUAAUUAGAAACAUUAAAAUAUUUUGUAAGCAAUAUAAUAAAUAUGAUAUCAACAUGCGCAAGUUUACCGUUUGAAUAAUAAGGAAAGUUUUUAAUAUUUGUCUUAAUUCUAAAUCUUGCCCAAGGGUAAACUAAAUCGAUAAAAUUUAAUGAUUUCAACUUGCGCAAGUAAUCCAUAUUGUGAAUAAGUGAUUUGCAUAUUUAAUGAUUUCAACUUGCGCAAGUAAUCUAUAUUAGAAAGGUAAGUUAUUAAAAACAAAUUUUGUCAAUAAGUUAUUUGCAUAUUUAAUGAUUUCAACUUGCGCAAGUAAUCCAUAUUAGAAAGGUAAGUUAUUAAAAACAAACAACCUAAUUAGUAGGGGUGGGCACUUUACCCGAUAUCCGAAGUGGCACCCGAACCCGAUCCGAAAAACCCGAACCGAAAUCCGAACCGAAGUAGCAAAAUACCCGAACGGGUAUUGAAUAAGGAGAGAUUGGAUACCCGAACCCGAAUGGAUAUCCGAAGAUAACCGAACAUAUGUAUAAUUAACCUUAUAUUUCUAGUUUACAUCUCUCAUUUUAUAUAAAAUAUUUAUAUUGAUACUAUACAUACUUUAAGUUCAUAUGAUAUACAUACAAUUACGGAAAAAAUGAUUUGCUAUUCACUUAAAAUGCAUGUAAAGUUUUUUAUUUCAAAAAUUAACAAAAAGUUACAUCCAACAUUUAAAAAAAAUAACUAAAUUAAUGUCUUUUUAGUUUUAAAAUAUUAUGGCCAAAUCUAUUAACCAUUCAAUCUAUUAAAAAUAAAAAAAUUAGUUAAGUGAAAGUUAUAUUUUUAAAUAUAAGAAACUUGAGAAAUGAAAAUUUAAUUUUUUUUUUCAAAAUCUAAAUAUCCGAACCCGAUCCGAAAUAACCGAAUCCGAACUAAAAAUACCCGAACCCGACCCGAAGUACAGAAAUACCCGAACGGGUUCUACACCUCUAUACCGAAAUACCCGAAAAUCCGAAAUACCCGACCCGAACCCGAACGGGUACCCAAGGCUAAACUAAAUCGAUAAUUAUUAUCUCCUAGCUAUAUAUGGGCUUAACGAAAUCAACAAUAGUUUUGGGCUUGUCUACAUAAGUGAUUGAUUAAAAUAAAUGAAAAAGAAAAAUUCAAAAAAUCCAGCCAAUAGAAUUAUAACAUUUUUCCUGAGAAGCUCUAUAUGAGUGCCACCUCAGCAAAAAUCACUAAAGUGACUUCUCUUUUAAUGUAUAGGGGGAUUAAGCUGACUUGAAUCGUUUCUCUACUCUCAGAGUUGCUAUUUGCUAAUCUGGGGAAGUCGUCGUUUAGUAGCUGGAUUCUUUUCGCAAAUGAAAAAACAGAAAGAAACAAAACCAAGAUUAAAAAAAUAAUAGUAAUAGAUAAGAAAGACAAAAUAAAGUUCUCCUUUAUUAUCAGUACAGUCAAUGAGCGUUCUUUCCGCCAUAGAAAUUCUCUGAGGAAAAACCCAAUAGAGAUCCAACUUAUUACCAUGGAGACUCCUAUGGCUUCUCUUCAUUGUCUGUAUCCUCUGAUCUUCUUCUUCUGCAAAAUCUAUUUUAUAAACUUGUAUUUAUCAUAUGCUAUCAUCUUCAUAGUAAGACAUCGGUUAUCUUUGUUCUAUAUUCUUAAUGACAAUGAUUUAAUCCAAUUGAGUUCUGUAACGGUACCGGCUUUACAUCAGUGGUCAGAAGAGCAGCCGGCGAUUCGAAACAGACAGUUGCAUCCAACAGAGAUUUGCCGGGAUUAAUCAUCUCCCCGUCAUAACUUUCGUCUCCAUCACGGAUUCAAUAAGCAUCCUCUGGAACAGAAUGCCAUUUGUGAAUCAUAUCCACAGUUUCCGGAAUCUAUAUACUGGUCCACGCUGAAGCUACCUCCUCCUACGCCGGAAAUUUCUCAGAGAAAUCUGUUGCCGUAAAAUCCGACCAUUUAGAACGAUGAUCGAUUCAACGAUCAUGUUAUCGACUGGAUAUCCAAACCAUUUUCUUAGAUAUUGCCAUACCACCACAGCUUAAGUGACCGUCGCGAACACUCUUGAUUCUUCAUAGAGAGUGACCUUGGGGAUUUUGUUGCGAUAGGACUGAUCAUUGCAAGAGACGAACACAUUUACAGUCGAAGCUUGAGGAGGUUAUCUUGGCAGAUGCUAAUGCCUAUUUAAUUCCAGAGAGUGGGAGGAGUGGUAUAGAAUACGUAAUGAUGGUGAUAAAGACGCUAACUGAAGACGUUACAGAGAGAUGAAGGUCAGAGAUGGUGAAAUCUGAAAAGACACAGCGAUUCGCUCUGCAAAUCUGCCAGCAAAAGUGAUGCAAAUCCUAACUAAAGUUGGGCCUCCUAUGAAAAACAAUAAAAGCCCAUUUCAUUAAUCAUAUUAUUAAUUGUUAGCCCAAAUUAAAAUACACUUUGCGAGAAAGCUUAUUCGUAUGAUUAACAAAGGAAGACACGUGUCAAAGAAUGCCCCAUGCUGAAUAAUGACGUGGAGUGCUGAGGUGAGAGAAAACUCUAUUUUAUUAUUAUAGAUUAUAGAUAUCAUAGGCUGAACAUAUAAGACCAACUCCAACGAGGGAAUGGUAAGAGGUCCUUAACUUUUUUUUAAAAAUGAAAAAUCAACAAAACAAAGAGAGAGAAACACACAAAAAUCCUAAUCUUACAACUUUUUAGAACCUUUACCAACCUCCAAAGUACAUGUGUUAAUCAGACAUUGUUUCAAACGAUUGUAAAAAGCAAAAAUAAUUAUAAUAUUAAUUACAAUGCUGUCCUAAGCAUGUCUGGAUAGGCUUGAGGCCAUUUUGAAUUUGGUAAAAUAAAAUAAGUAAUCAGCUAAAUAUGUUUACUUUUUUUUGUCGACAAGUAAAUAUAUUCACAUAUAAAAAUUAUUAGCAUACUAUCUCAAAUUUUGGUCAAACAAGUAUAAUAUCUAAAUUAUGCAAUAUUUAUUUUACUAUAUUUCACUAAUAAAUAUAGUAAAAUGUCAUGUAUCAUCAAUUACGUUUUUUUAUAAUUAUUCAGAUUUCUCUGUAUGUAAAAUUAAUAUAUUUUCUGGUCACAACACUUUUAAGUUGAACUAAAAAGAAGAGGCUUUGUUAUUUAUGAAGAACAAAAAUAACAUUUUCAAAUUUAUUUAAAACAAUGAAAGAAUACCCGUGCUUAGCACGGGAGAAACAUACUAGUACGGUAAUAACUCAUCAAUCAUCAUUAAAAUAAAUAUAUAAAAAUAUGGCAUUACAAACUUUGAAAUAUCAUUUAAUUAUAUAUUUUGAAUUAUACAAUUUUACUACUAAAAUUUUCAAAAAUGUAUAUAUAUUUUUUUGAAAAUUACAAAAAUUUAAUCGUAAAAUCAUUAGUUUCUUAUAUAUCUAUAAAUUUUAUAAAUAUUGUUUAGUUUUAAUUUUUGAUAAUUAUGCAGGUUUUUACAAAUAUAUUUAAUUAAAAUAAAUAUAUAUAAAAAUCUAUCUAAGCUUAUAAUUUUAAAUAUAUACAUGCAUAUUCUUAAAUAUAAUUUAAAAUAAACAAAAUAAUUUUUAUCUUAAUUUUUAUGUUUAAUUAAAUCAAAUUUAUAUUAAAAUGCAGACAACAUACUUUCAUGGCUGAAAUGUUUGCGAAUUUCGAUUGUGAUAUUUUAAAUAUAAUUUAUAUUUAUCUGUUAAAAUUUUUUUAAAUUUUUUUCUCCACAUGGUGCAGGAAAACACCUAGUAUGUGAGUAAAAAGCUUGUCAUGUAAUAUUUUCAUGGAAAAUUGUCACAAAUGACACAUUUAUAGUACUACUUUUCAUAUUUAUACUAAUCACUUUUACCAUCAAUUUUAAUGAAGGAUAAAAGAUACUUAUACCCUUAGGGUUAACUAAUAUAGACUUAGGUUUAGAGUCGAGGUGUGGGGUAGGAUUUCUGGAAUGUGAAAAUUAAGAUUAUAAUAAAUAUAUAAAUAAGUACUUAAAAAAUAUUUAAAAAAAUUUCAAAAAUAGUUUCAAACAUAAUUUUCGAUUUUCAAAAAGAAAUUUUGAAAAAAAAUCAAAAAAAUAAUUAUAAAAAUGUUCGAAUUUGAAAAAGUAUAAUUCGAAAACAUUAUUUUUUUAAUUCUUUUAUUUAUUUAAAUAAUGAUUUAUUAUAUAUAUAUAACAAAUGUAUAAAAACCUUUUGUCACUUAACUAAGAAUGUAAUUUUAAAAAUGUCUUUUUAGUAGUGGUAAAAACUAUAAGUGGUAUAAAGAAAGCUGUAAACCUAAAAUCGCCCUAUUUUCAUACAGAUGAGACAGAUAUUUGACAUAAAGUUUAUGGGCCUCAGAAACUAGAUCUCGUAACAAAGUGUGGCCCAACUCUCGGCCCAUCUCAAAGCUUCCGCUUUCACAACCUUCUCUUCGAUCAUCUCUCAGAGGACACGUCCGAUGCUUCUCCGAUCUCCAGAAUCGUCCCACUCGACAUAGCCAUUUGCAAGCAGAUCCACCGUCGCCGCGUUUCUGGCGAAUAAGGAGUAACAAGGAUCUGAUCUCAAUUGAGUUUUCGUGGCUAAGCUCCCACUCUACCGCAUCGGCUCGAUCCUUCACCAUACACUGAGAGCUUCUACACAUACGCCAUUGAACCCAAAGAAACACUUCAAAGAGUAGAAUCUGGAUCUCUUUCUCCGAUCCCGAUCUCUCCAGUACAUUUGGUCUCGUUAGAUAGGUAGGCUGAGUCUCUCGAUCCUCUUCCUCCUUCCCUUUAAGUUUCAAACUGUUCUACGUAUUAGCUCUUAAGUUUUAAUAGGUAGUUUUGCUGACUUGCGAUUCAAUGAGAUCUGAAUUGUAUGGUUUUGAAUUUGCAGCUCUACAUGCUUCGUGUGUGUAUUGGUGUUUGAGGACGAGUUAUGGGGUAUCAGAAUCACCAUCCAUCGGGAAGCAGCAACUCGUUCCAUGGAGGAGAGUUCAACAAACCGUCCAAAGUUGCUGUGGCGUCUAUGAUCAACUCCGAGAUCGGCGCAGUUUUGGCUGUGAUGAGGAGGAACGUGCGUUGGGGUGUCCGCUACAUUGCGGAUGAUGAUCAGUUGGAGCAUUCCCUUAUCCAUUCUUUGAAAGAAUUGCGUAAGCAGAUAUUCUCAUGGCAGAGCAAUUGGCAAAACGUUGACCCCAAGCUGUACAUACAGCCGUUUCUGGAUGUUAUACUCUCUGAUGAAACCGGGGCUCCCAUCACCGGCGUUGCUUUGUCCUCUGUCUACAAGAUCUUGACCCUUGAUGUUUUCACGCUUGACACCGUGAAUGUGGGAGAGGCGAUGCAUAUCAUAGUGGAUGCUGUGAAAAGCUGCCGUUUUGAGGUGACUGAUCCUGCCUCCGAGGAAGUGGUUUUGAUGAAGAUACUUCAGGUUCUUCUGGCUUGUAUAAAGUGUAAGGCGGCUAGUGGGUUGAGUAAUCAGGAUAUUUGCACCAUCGUCAACACUUGUUUGCGUGUUGUUCAUCAGUCUAGCUCCAAAAGUGAGUUGUUGCAGCGUAUAGCACGCCACACGAUGCAUGAGUUGGUUAGAUGCAUCUUCUCUCAGCUUCCUUGUAUCGGCCCGCUGGCUAAUGAAAGCGAAUUACCCGUCGGCGAUAAGGUGAUUCAAUUUGACCUUCCUUGCUAGAAUUUUUAUAUGUUUGUUCUAUAGAUAGAAUAUUUAACAUGUUUCAGUGACGCCAAAAGUCAUAUCGUAUUAUGAUUUAUCUGCUAUGCGUAUUGAUUGAUUGAAGAUGCCUCAUGACUAAGUUUAAUGGUGAAUUGGGUUGACCAUCUGUUUGUUUUCCACAAAUUUCUCACGGUAUUCUUUCUUGUCUAGGUGGGAACAGUGGAUUGGGAUCAGAAUUCUGGAGAAAACACAGUUGAAAAUGGAAGUAUUGAUACUCUCGGCGUUGAGAAAGAUUCUCCAAGUUCUGAGAUGGUUAUUCCAGAAACAGUAGUCAAAAAAGAUGAAAAGGGAGCUGAGGUCAGUGAUGACUUAAAUGUUGCUGCGAAUGGUGAAAAUGCAAUGUUGGCGCCUUUUGGUAUUCCAUGCAUGGUAGAGAUUUUUCAUUUCCUGUGUACUCUGUUGAAUAUUGGAGAAAACAGUGAAGUCAAUUCCAGAUCUAACCCUAUAGCAUUUGAUGAAGACGUUCCUCUUUUCGCUCUGGGUUUAAUUAAUUCUGCUAUAGAACUUGGAGGCUCUUCUUUCCGUGAGCACCCAAAAUUGUUGAGUUUGAUUCAGGAUGAGUUAUUCUGUAACUUGAUGCAGUUUGGUAUGUCGAUGAGCCCUCUGAUUCUUUCUACAGUUUGCAGCAUCGUUCUUAAUCUCUACCUGACUCUCCGUACUGAACUUAAGGUACAGCUUGAAGCUUUCUUCUCAUGCGUACUUCUGAGGAUUGCACAGAGCAAGCAUGGCUCUUCUUACCAGCAACAGGAGGUUGCUAUGGAAGCUCUGGUUGAUUUUUGCAGACAGCAUACUUUCAUGGCUGAAAUGUUUGCGAAUUUCGAUUGUGAUAUAACAUGCAGUAAUGUGUUCGAAGAUGUUUCAAAUUUGCUAUCAAAGAGUGCCUUCCCAGUUAACGGGCCUUUAUCUGCUAUGCACAUAAUUGCAUUGGAUGGGUUAAUCUCCAUGGUUCAGGGAAUGGCUGAAAGGGUUGGUGAGGAAUUGCCGGGUUCAAAUGUUUCGACACAUGAAGAAGGAUACGAAGCAUUUUGGACAGUGAGAUGUGAGAACUACGGAGAUCCUAAUUUAUGGGUUCCCUUUGUCCGAAAGUCAAAGCACAUCAAGAAAAAGCUGAUGGUUGGUGCUGAUCAUUUUAACAGUGAUCCUAAAAAAGGUCUGCAGCAACUCCAAGCGAUGCACUUGUUACCUGAAGAACUUGAUCCAAAGAGUGUGGCAUGUUUCUUCAGGUAUACAUGUGGGAUAGAUAAGAACCUUAUAGGAGAUUUCUUGGGAAAUCAUGACCAGUUCUGUGUUCAGGUUCUUCAUGAGUUUGCCAAGACGUUUGACUUCCAGAAUAUGAAUCUUGAUAACGCCCUGCGUCUCUUUGUGGGGACAUUUAGAUUGCCUGGCGAGUCGCAGAAGAUACAGAGGGUGCUUGAAGCGUUUUCUGAGAGAUACUAUGAGCAGUCACCACAGAUAUUGAUUGAUAAAGACGCUGCCCUCUUGUUAUCUUAUUCGAUUAUCUUGCUGAACACAGAUCACCACAACACUCAGGUCAAGAAAAAGAUGACUGAAGAAGAUUUCAUCCGUAACAACAGGUGCAUAAAUGGAGGCGCAGAUCUUCCCAGGGAAUACUUAUCUGAGCUUUAUCAUUCAAUCUGCGACAGUGAGAUUCAGAUGAUCCCAGAUCAAGGAACCGGUUUCCAAAUGAUGACCUCCAGUCGGUGGAUUAGUGUGAUUUACAAGUCCAAAGAAACCAGUCCCUAUAUCAUAUGUGACAGCGCAUCGUAUCUGGACCGUGACAUGUUUCAUAUCGUGUCCGGUCCCACUAUUGCUGCUACAUCUGUGGUUUUUGAGCAAGCAGAGCAAGAAGAUGUUCUGCAGAGAUGUGUUGAUGGGUUAUUGGCCAUUGCAAAACUUUCAGCGUAUUACCAUUUGAAUAGUGUAUUGGAUGAUCUGGUCGUGUCUCUCUGCAAAUUCACGCCAUUCUUCGCGUCGUUAUCUGUUGAUGAAGCUGUUCUUGCUAUAGGAGAAGAUGCCAGAGCAAGAAUGGCUACUGAAAGUGUGUUCUUGAUCGCAAACAAAUACGGCGACUAUAUCACUUCGGGAUGGAAAAACGUACUGGAAUGUGUCUUGAGCCUCCACAAACUCCAGAUUUUACCAGCUCAUAUAGCUAGUGAUGCUGCGGAUGACCCAGAGGAAGAAAGACCUUUAGCAAAUCCCUUAUCAGUAGUAUCACAGGUACAACCCUCAGAGACCCCUCGAAAAUCCUCUAGUUUUAUCGGUCGGUUUAGCCAGCUUUUGUCCUUUGACAUGGAGGAGACGAAGCCAUUAUUACCUACCGAGGAAGAACUUGCAGCCUAUAAGCACGCUCGUGGUAUAGUGAAAGAUUGUCAUAUUGAUAGCAUAUUCUCAGACAGCACGUUUCUCCAAGCCGAGUCCCUGCAACAGCUAGUAAACUCUCUCAUAAAGGCAGCCGCGAAAGAUAAAGAUAGUGCUGUCUUUUGCCUGGAGCUUUUAAUUGCAGUAACUCUAAACAACCGAGACAGAAUCCUACUGAUCUGGCAAACUGUUUACGAGCACAUCUCGGGUAUAGUUCAAUCAACGACGACACCAUGCCCGCUUGUGGAAAAGGCUGUGUUUGGUGUGUUGAAGAUUUGUCAGAGAUUAUUGCCUUACAAGGAGAAUCUAACAGAUGAGCUUCUGAAAUUACUCCAACUGGUUCUCAAACUUGAUGCAAGAGUGGCUGAUGCAUACUGUGAGCCCAUAACGCAAGAAGUAGCCCGUCUUGUAAAAGCGAAUGCAUCUCACGUCAGAUCUCAUGUUGGUUGGAGAACAAUCAUAUCUCUGAUAUCAAUCACAGCUCGACAUCCAGAAGCUUCUGAUGCUGGAUUCGAAGCUCUCCGGUUUAUAAUGUCAGAAGGAGCUCACUUGUUGCUAGCAAACUACAUUCUUUGUUCGGAUGCAGCUAGGCAGUUUGCUGAAUCCCGUGUCGGGGAAAUCGAUCGGUCUAUCUCAGCCAUCGACUUAAUGUCAAACUCUGUGUUCUGUCUUGCUAGGUGGUCUCAAGAGGCGAAAAACUCGGUGGGAGAAGAUGAAGCUAUGAGGAAACUAAGUCAAGACGUCGGAGAGAUGUGGCUCAGGCUUGUGAACAACCUCAAAAGGGUUUGUCUUGAUCAACGCGACCAAGUGAGAAACCACGCCAUCUCAAUGCUACAGAGAUCAAUAGCCGGUGCAGACGGAAUCAUGUUACCACAACCAAUAUGGUUCCAAUGCUUCGACGCCGCAAUCUUCCCGUUGCUAGACGAACUGCUCGCUGUUUCGAUCGAGAAUUCAAGAAAGACAUUCAAGAAAACAGUUGAAGAAACGCUUGUGCUCGCCACAAAGCUCAUGUCAAAGGCCUUUCUUCAAGCUCUCCAAGACAUCUCGCAGCAACCAUCGUUCUGCAGACUCUGGCUUGGUGUAUUGGACCGUAUGGAGACUUACAUGUCGACCAAGUUCAGAGGGAAACGCAGCGAGAAAGUCCAUGAACUCAUACCGGAACUGCUGAAGAACACGUUGCUGGUGAUGAAGACGACGGGUGUUUUACUACCAGGUGAUGAUAUUGGAAGUGAUAGUUUCUGGCAACUGACUUGGCUUCAUGUCAAGAAGAUAUCUCCUUCUCUGCAAUCUGAAGUGUUCCCUCAAGAGGAGCUUGAUCAGUUUCAGAGACGAAACGCUAAGCCUGAGGAUACUCCGGUGGUACCGGAAAACUAAGACUCAGAACGGUGGUGGUGGAGUAGUAAGGAUUUGUUUUUAUACAGAAAAGCAUUAUUGAGAAGUUUUUUUUAGAAACUAUAUCGAAAUAUUAUAUCUUUGCAGUAUAGCCUUUUGUUUGAAUAUAGUACUUUUGAGCUUUUGGAUUUUUAUGGAAUGUCACGUUGGAGUUAUGGCUUUGAUUGGAGAUUUGCUUGGAGGCGAUUCAGGAAAGCGUUGUCACAAGUUGCACAAAUCGGCUUUUGAGUUUACCAAUAGAACGGACAGAUAAAAUGAACAGUUGAACUGAGUGAGCUUUUCAGGGUGCCGCCAACCCAUUCAUGUAUUUUUCAUUCUGAAACAGAAUAAUGUCAAAAUAGGGUUGAGCUUUUCUAAAAAAUUAUUACUUUACCUUUAUUUCUAAAUACAAAUUAAAAUAUUCUCAUUAAAUUAGUUUUUUAAAAAAUAAUUUUAUUUUAUUCUAAUGGAAAAAUUACAAAAGUAUAAUAUUUUUAAUGAAAAUUACAGUAAUCAACUUUACUAAACAAAAACAAAGAUAGGAUAAUGUUAAAGAUAUGCAUGUCAAAUUCAAAGACAAUAAUUUUAUAUAGCUUCACAAAUUAGAGUUGUUUAUAUUAUAGUUGUAUAUUCACUUCAAUUUGGAUAUUAUCAUGUGUAAGUAGUAGGAUAAAUUUUCCACUACAAGCUACCUACCACAAUUACAAAAGCUUAAUAAUUUUCAAUUAUUUAAAAAAGCACAUAGAUUAUAGAAAAUUUGGAAUCUCCUCACAAAUAUUUUCUUGAACAUACCUCUGUCUCUCUAUCUUAAUAUAUUCUCAUAGAUCAUUUGAGUCCAAAUUUUGGAUCUUGCAAUUUAAAAAUUAAUUAUUAUUUUCUUUGUUUUUAAAAAAUUUACUGUUUCAUUUCUUAUAAGUUAUUUAUAUAAUAUCACCAUUAUAUUUCAACAUAAUAAAAACUCGUGGUUCCAUAUUUUCGCCGGAAACCAACUAGCGCAAUGGACCAACUAGGGGUGGGCGUUCGGGUAUCCGGGUUCGGAUCGGAUAUUUCGGUAUAGAGGUGUAGAACGUCAGAGUAUUUCUGUACUUCGGGUCGGGUUCGGAUAUUUUUAGUUUGGGUUCAGUUAUUGCAGAUCGGUUUCCGAUAUUUAGAUUUUGAAAAAAACAAAAUUAAAUUUUCAUUUCUCAAAUUUCUUGUAUUUAAAAAUAUAACUUUCACUUAACUAAUUUUUUAUUUUUAAUAAAUUGAAUGGUUAAUAGAUUUGGACAUAACAAUUUGAAACUAAAAAAACAUUAAUUUGGUAUUGUUUUUAAAUUUUGGAUGUAACUUUUUGUUAAUUUUUGAAAUAAAAAAUUUGACAUGCAUUUUAAGUGAGUAGCAAAACUUUUUCUCCGUAAUUUUAUGUAUGUCAUAUGAAUUUAAAAUAUGUGUAGUAUCAAUAUAAAUAUUUUAUAUAAAAUGAGAGAUGUAAACUAGAUUCAGAUUUCAGUUCGGGUUUCGGUUCAGAUUUUGGUUCGGGUUUUUCGGAUUGGAUUGGGUUCGGAUGUCACUUCAGAUAUUGAAUAAAGUGUCCACCCUUGACCAACACAACAUUGGUGGUUAAAACUCAUAGUUUACCAAAAAAAUAAUCAAAACUCGUUUAGAUGCUUUGUAUUUAGCUAAUUGUUUUAAAACUCAGUUUUUCUAACCACCAUAAACUAUUCAAACUAUUUUAACAACUUUUCUAAAAAAAGACUAUAAAAUUAUUAUUAAUUUUGUUAAAAAAUUUUAAUCUACUAGUUGAUCAAUGAUUCAUAAAAAAAUUUAAAUUUUGAUUUCAAGAUUUAUAGAAAUUAACGGAUUUAAAAAAUUAAAUAAAAAUCAUAUAAAUAGUUUCAUCUAAGUUUAAAAUAUUGAAAAAUCAGUUUAAAAAAAAAAGAAAACAUAAAAGAAAAGAAAAGAUGUAGAGAAACGACGGGUGCCUGCUGGUGUAGGAUAGAAACAGUGUAUGUGGAUGUAGCUUAUAACUACCCAAUCCCGUUGAACAUAUUUCCUCCGACCAGACCAUCCCCAGAAUAAUAAUAAUAAUAAAAUUCAACGGAGGCCGCCUUCCCUUCACCGGAUCACCUUCCUUCCUUUGGAUCUAUCUUCCCAUUCCGACGGUUCUUCGUUUCUCAGGUCUCCUCUUCCUUUCUCAUCUAUUCCCUUUUUAAAUCCUUUUUUAUUUUUUGCUUUAAUCGCUUGUUUCAUGGGCGAUCACUUUUCUCUCUUGCGAUCGGUGAAUUUUGAUUCUUCUGUCUACCCAUAAACCUCGUGUUGACAUGUGUUUCGCGAUCUAACAAUAUAUAUUAUUAGUGUUUACGGAUUGUUUUAGACAUCAAUCAUCGAUCCUCUCGCUGAGGAAAAUUGCAGUUCCUAGUCUUGCGAACUGUUGAUUUGUUCCUAAUUUGGGGGUUACUGAUCCUAGAGGAAUUGGAUUUCAUUAAUCUAUUUGAUUCAUCAUCAUCAUUAUGUGUUGCGUGCAGAGUAUCAAUAAUCAAUCUACCUUGGAACAAUGAGUGAGGUGUUUAACGGAUACGAGCGCCAAUACUGCGACCUCUCGGCCAACCUCUCCAAGAAAUGCUCCUCUGCUAUUGCCCUUGACGGAGGUAAGUAAUUCCAUAUCAUCUCUUGCUCCUCAUCCACUGCCCCUAACUUCCUUCCUCUUUUAUGAGUUACUACAAGCCUUUCUCUGCUUUCCAGGGCCGGCCCUAGGCCAUGCUAGGUGAAACAUUCGCAACAGGCCCCUAAAAUUUUUGAAAAAAAUUACAUACAAAUAAGCCCCAAAACAAAAUUUCAUACAGCAGGGUCAGACCUCCAGAAUCUCAGGUCUGGCCCUGCUGCUUCCCUUUGAAAGCUGAUGAUACCUUUACUGAUUGAAUUGCAGAACAAAAGAAGCAGAAGCUCUCUGAGAUAAGAUCUGGCCUCGAUAAUGCUGAAGCAUUGGUAUGUGUGACUCUGGAAUAUAGCAGUUUUUUCUUUAUUGUCCCUUUUAACAUUUUUUCUUAUUCACCAGAUUAGGAAAAUGGAUGUUGAGGCGAGGAGCCUUCCACCGAGCAUUAGGACCAGCCUCCUUGUUAAACUAAGAGAGUUCAAGUCCGAUCUCAACAACUUCAAAAGCGAAGUCAAGAGGAUCACAUCUGCUAACUUGAAUGCUGCUGCUCGCGACGAGCUGCUUGAAGCUGGUCUGGCUGACACAAAGACGGUAUGUAAAGAGAACUCACUAGUAUCUUUUUUGACAUCUUUUGAUUGAUCUAUGACAUUUGAGGGCAGGCUUCGGCUGAUCAAAGAGCGAGAUUGAUGAUGUCAACCGAUCGAUUGGGUCGAACCACUGACAGAAUCAAGGACAGUCGAAGAAUGAUGAUUGAGACUGAAGAGCUUGGAGUUUCUGUCCUACAAGACUUGCACAGUCAGAGACAGUCUCUCCUUCGCACUGGCGACACGGUAUGUACUCUCUUCUUCAGCACGAUUUUAUCAUGAAGAAGACUACGUUUUAUUUAUAUACUACUUGUGAUUGGUGUCUCUUUUAACCAAAAGUUAGAACUCUGAAACAUGCAGCUUAGUGGAGUAGACGAAAAUGUCGGAAAGAGCAAGAAGAUCUUGACGGGCAUGACCAGGGGGAUGAACAGGAACAAAUGGACCAUUGGAGCCAUUAUCACCGCUCUGGUCGCGGCUAUUAUCCUCAUCUUGUACUUCAAACUCACCAAGUAAUCCCUCUGUAUCUAAACUCUUUGUCGCUGAACAAAUGGUGUGUAUCUUUUAUUUAAUCCUUUUCUGGCUUUCUGUGUGAUAAGUUAUGUCUUUGCCACCUUUUGUAUUAUCACGUUCUCUUGUUUGCGUUUGCGAUUACAUUUGUGUAUUUUAAUACUGAAUGAUGCAAAUUGUUUUGUUUUAUUAUUACUAAACGCAAGCGUAAAUUACAUUUCAAACAAUUAGAGCCUAAGCCUUGAGAUUGAGAACUAGUUGUGUGUUUUUCUUUCAUUCUUGAACCUGUUAUAAUCAGCGAGCAAGCUCUCAAUAACCUUAUGUUUCAUGCUAUCCACCAAACCAGUCAAAAUCUGUAGAAACCAAAUCACAACCAAACAUUAUUUACAAAGCUGAAAUAGUGGAAAAUAUCGUUUUCGAGUUCUCAAACGCAUAUAAGAAACCGUUUCUAACCGCAUUGGCCACGCUUCUCUUAACAUCUUCGGGUACAAACGCAAGAACCGAAGGAAGGACGAAGCUUACGUUCAUCUCUAAUUGACCUUUGAGCCUUGUGUGGCUUCCGCCUCGGUCUGGGUACAAUGCUCCUUGAACUCCCAGAGUGAAAUCAGACUGUUCCAUGACCUGGCCAAGCCCUUGAAGCUCCCAUUUCAUCUGAAGGUAAACCGUUAAAAGGGAACAAAAGAGUGAGAAUCGUCAAGGGUUGUGUCUGUUUCUAUUACCAUGUUAAGCUCAAGAACUCUGGUUAUGUCUAGAGGUACAUCAGGCGGGUAAUCUUGACCGUUGGAUUUGCAUCUAAUUCGCAUGUCCACCACUGGCCUUGCAGUGAGGAAGAGGAAAUUUAUAGGUGACAUAUGAAUUCUCCAUUCUUCCUGCACAAAUAAAAUAUUGUUAGAUACCGAAUGCAUUCCCACUUACAUAAAAAGUAACACAUAUUAGCUACCUCGUUAAGCCUAUAGCUUCUAGGUUUAUCAGGAAACAUUGCUUUGAAAACCCUACACUUAUCCUCCAAAUACUCAUCGAACAACGCCUGAACUUUCCCGAAACGCGUCAAACACAUACACUGUUGUACAGUGAUGCAUAUAUAUAACUCAUUAUAGGAAAUGAGAGUGAGAAUGAGACCUGAGGAGACUCGUGCAAUUGAACAUCGGUAGAGAAUUUAGAUGAAUACUUGGAGGCUUUUACAGUUGACAACUGGCACUUGGCUCCUGGCCGUAAUGUUCUCAUCUCCGCCGCUGUAGACCUGAUUCUUCCCAGCAUUGUCGGACACGACAAAACUGUUGAGCUGACAGCCAUGUUAGUAGUCUCUCUCUAGGUUUUCAAGAUUGGAUGAUGUUUGAUCUUUCCCACAUGUUUGAAAGAUAAGGGGAUAUGUGUCUUUCGGCCUUGUAUGUAGACGUGGUAUAUCGAGGGACUAUCCACCUCAUCAACAUUUUGAAUUCUUGGCCCUCUUUGAUUUACUCCUUUAUUCACGUUUUUCUCACUAUUAAGAAGAAGACAAUCUUGUUGAACAAAUAAUUAAAAAAAAGAAGACAAUCUCUUUCUCUCUAUACUCUUUCAGUCUUUCUUCGGUUCUCUGUUAUGAAAACAGUCUCCUUUCUUUCGGCUAAAUCAGGUCAAUAACAGAAAAUUGUGUGUUUUUUUUACAGUGUUCUAAAAAUUGGUUUAGAUGACACAUUAAAAAAAGUCUAACCAUACAUUUAAUCAACAAUCUUCGUAAAAAGUAUAACUACCGCCUAACGAUUUUUUGCAUUGUUUUUCUCUCAAAAUAUUACAAUUGACAGAUUUAAUAUUCAAAUAUUAUAGUUACUCCAUAACUAAUAGCUCGACGGCAUAAAAUUGACAUGAUAUAGUCAAUAGUUUCGUCUAUUUUUAACAGUUGACUAUUAUAAUCCUAAUUUUUUUAAUUAUAAUCCUAGUUUUAUGGUGUAUAUAUAUACUAGUUGAUACAAGUUGUUUUGUUUAAUAUAAACGUAUACGCCAAACAUGGCGCAUAAAUUACAUUCAAACCAUUAAAGCUUUAGCCUUGAGAUUAAAAACUAAUGAUGUGUUCUUCUUUCAUUCUUAAACCUAUUAUAAUCAUCGAGCAAGCUCUCAAUAACCUUAUGCUUCAUAUUAUCCACCAAACCAUUUAAAACCUGCAGAAAGCAAAUAAAAACAUAAGAUAAUAUAUAAAUUUGGAAUAUAGUGUUUUGAAUUUGCAAAUGCAUUUAUUUCUAACCGCAUUGGCAACGUUUCUCCUAACAUCCUCUGGUACAAGCAUGAGAACCGUAGGAAGCACGAAGCUAACGUUCAUCUCUAGUCGACCUUUGAGCCUUGUGUGCCUUCCGCCUCGGUCUGGGUACAAUGCUCCUUGAACUCCAAGGGUGAAAUCAGAUGGCUCCAUGACCCGGUCAAGCCCUUGAAGCUCCCAUUUCAUCUGAAAAUAAACCGUUCAAAGAGAACAAAAGAGUGAGGUAUUUAGACUUUUUAGUACUUCCUCCAUUCAACGAAGAUAUAAAUCUUGGAUAUUUCACACAAUUUAAAUAUAAAUUUACAAUUCUAAAAUAUUUUUUUAAUACCAUAAUUUAAAAAAAAUCAAUUUAUUUCAACAGUAUUGUCUUAAUCAAUAUGAUCAGUAAAUAAAGGUAAACAAUUAUUCAUAAAACUUUUCUCUUUCUGAAACAAUUAAAAAUGUCAAAACUUGUAUUUUUGUGGAAAGGAGUGAGUACCAUGUUAAGCUCAAGGACUUUGGUUAUGUCUAGAGGUACAUCAGGCGGGUAAUCCUGACCGGUGGAUUUGCAUCGGAUCCGCAUGACCACCACUGGCCACGCAGUGAGGAAGAGAAAUUUUAUUGGCAACAUUUGGAUUCUCCAUUCUUCCUGCACAAGUAAAUCAUGUCGGUCUUUUCGUUAGAGUAACCAAAGAAUGCAACCCAGAGCCGUGCCUGACUAGAGGCUGAUCAAGCACUUGCUUGAGGCCAAAACGUAGAUAAAUAGUUUUAUGGGCCAAUUUCUUGGCAAGAGUUGUCUACAGAACAGUUGGUAAUAGUCUGUAUUAUUACUCUAGGGUCCCGGGUUCAAUCACGAGUAUAGCAGUUUGACCUUUUUUCCAAAAAAUUUAUAGUUUAUGGGGCAAAUUUUUUUUAGUGCUUUAGGACCCACAAUAUUCAGGCAUGGCCCUGAAUUGCAACCCCACACUUAUAAAAAUGGAACAUGGAUGUUACCUCGUUAAGCCUAUAGCUUUUGGGUUUAUCAGGAAACAUUGCUUUGAAAACCCUCGACUUAUCCUCCAAAUACUCAUCGAACAACGCCUGAAGUUUCAAAGCAUUACAACACAAACAGUUUUACACUGAUGCAUACAUAUAUAACAUUAUAGAGAUUGAAAGUGAGAAAGAGAUACCAGAGGAGACUCGUGCAGUUGAACAUCGGUAGUUAUUUUAGAUGAAUAUUUGGAGGGUUUUACGGGUGACAACUGACACUUAACUCCCCACCGUAUUGUUCUCAUCUCCACCGCCACCGACCGGCGUCUUCCGAACAUCUUCGGGCAUGACAAAACCAUUGAGCUUACAGCCAUUUUACCAGUCUUUCUCUCUCUUUUUUGGUCUUCAAGAUUGGAUGAUAUUUGAUCUUUCCCACUUUUCUCUCUCUCUAUAUUUAUAUAUAUCUUCAGAGGAAAGAUUGCGUCUUUGCUUCUCUUUAAUACGUUUAGAGACCUUUGUUAAAGAAAAUAGAGACAGAGAGUAACAUUCUCACGGUACGCAUUUGGAAGAUAGUGGAUUUCGAGAAAUAAUUGUUGAAACAUUGCUUUUCAACCUCUAUAGUAACCGGGUACAUAUUCGGUUUGGUUUAAUUGUUUCAGGUUUUGUAAGAAAUAUAAGUCCACUUCAUUUAAUUUAGUUUAGUUUGGUUUGGUUUAGUUAAGAGGUUACCCAUUUAUUUUGCCAUCUACGUGGUGAUAAUGUAAAGCCUCGUCUGUCACGCAGUUGUUGAUGAGAGUGACACGAGAACAUUGAACGUUGAGAAUAAUCUGUAGAAUAACUUCUAUCACACGCAGAGGUUUUGAAAAAAAAAAGAAAAAGAAUUCAUUGCUUUCGAAACCGACAAACUCUCGGACCGAAUACUAAGAAACCGGUUUACUUUGGCGCCUAGGAAUAUGGGUUACUAACUUUGACUUUUAAUGUAAGCAAUAAGCAAAGAUCUCUUGUUGUUUGCAACUCUUUCAACUCUAUAAUCUUUGUUUUUCAGACUGGCUAAGUAAAUUAAAACAUUAAAAUCUUAUAUAGUAUGUUACGAUGACUGUUCAUAAACGAUUUGUUCAUGUUGGAUUGAGAAACUAUACAUGGUUGAGCAUUGACAUUAAAAUUCGGCUUUAGUAGAUAACUUGUGUAAUCUUCUCUCGUUCUUGAACCUGCUAUAAUCAGCGAGCAAGCUCCCAUUAACCUUAUGCUUCAUAUUCUCCACUAAACCUGUCAAAACCUGUAAAUGGGUCCAAAUCAGAUCAUGUGUAAAUCAUAAGAGAUAGUCAAAUAAGGUUUUACAUACCGCACUGGCCAAGUUUCUCCUAACGUCUUCAGGUACCAAUUCAAGAACCGGGGGAAGAACAAAGCUUAUGUUCAUCUCUAGCUGACCUCUGAGCCUUGUGUGCUUUCCUCUCCGGUCUGGGUACAAUGCUCCUUUGACUCCCAAACUGAAGUCAGACGGUUGCAUCACUCGGUCAAGCCCUUUAAGUUGCCAUCUCGUCUGAAAAGAAGCAUUUAAGAGUUUGAGUAAUGGAAGAUGAAGAAACGAAGAGAGAGAAAAGUUAUUACCAUGUUGAGCUCAACAACUUUGGUUAUGUCUAAAGGUACGUCUGCCGGGUAAUCCUGACCGUUGGAUUUGCAACUUAAACGCAUAUCGACCACAGGCCACACAGUGAGGAAGAGGAAAUUAAUUGGUAACAUCUGAAUCCUCCACUCUUCCUGCAAAAAUUCAAUUUAUCCAAGUAGACUUAAAAUAGUGAAAAAGGGGGCGUUCCGAGAAUUGAACUCGGGACCUCUCGCACCCUAAGCGAGAAUCAUACCACUAGACCAAACGCCCGUUUUGAACGUGUUUUAUAUAUAACUAAUGUUAGUCAUAUUAGUUGACGUACCUCGUUAAGCUUAUGGCUUCUGGGUUUGUCAGGGAACAUGGCUUCGAAAACUCUCGAUUUAUCCUCUAAAUAGUCAUCAAACAACGCCUAAAAGUUCCUCAAAAUCACAUUUAAGAAACGCACCAAAACAGUUUAAACUGAAUCGUGUUAUAGAGGGAGAGAGAGAAGGAGACCUGAGGAGACUCGUGGAGAGGAAUAUCUGUGGAGAGUCUUGACGAAUACGUGGCAGGUUUUAUGGAUGAUACCUGACACCUAACUCUCCACCGUGUAAUUGGUCUCAUCUCCGUCUUCACCGGUCGGUAAGUUCCGAACAUGGGCGAUGACAAAACCGCCAUUUCACCGAUUAUCUUUUCAAUAUCAGAACUUUUAUAUAUUCCACAUUUCUCUUUUGAUUUCUCUCUGAAAGUUAAAAACUUUUGAAAGAACUUUUAGAUUUCUCUAGAGGAGUGAAGUUGCUUUUUGCUAGAGAUUUUGGAGGGAUAAGGGGAUAUCUGUCUUUCGGCCUUCUAUGUCGACGUGGCAUAUUUUGAGACUAGCCACAUCAUCAACAUUUGGAAUUCGUAGGGCCCUUCUUUUCUUUGUACUCCUUUCGGACUUUUCCUUUCCGUUAGUGGAUGAGAAUGACACGAGACGAAACUAAAAAAAAAAAAAACUCAAAUGUAUUAUCUGACGACAAAGGAAGGUUCGACAAACUAAACUCAAUCCUUAUUUUACAUUAGUUCCACUGUACAUGUUCUGUCAUAUUAAAAGAUCAAGAAUAUUCAAAUCCUACGAGCAACGCAUUAUAUUGUCGGAUGAAUUUCCUUGAAAGUGUAUGGUUUGAAAUUUCAGGACUGUAGAGGGCACACAGAUGAUCCUCCUAAAGAAUGUAGAUAUCAAACCUUAAGUUCUGUGAUUUGUUCUUCGAUUUCUUGCUUAUAAAAGCAAACUAAAAUGAAAUGUGGAACGUAAAUGCCACAAUUGAUUCACGGCUUCGUUGAGCUCACUUCACUCUCUUUGUUAAAACUCAAAUACAUCUCGAUCUUCUUAGUUCCAACAACCAAAGAGGAUACAAAAGACAAUCUUUCACGGUUUAUUUCUAACAUUAGUAAGAAAAGGACUCGUCUCUUUCUCUCUUAAUUCCUUCACGGUUAAAACCUCAAGUCAAACCGUCAACACACUUAUGGGCCUUAUCCAUUUCCUAACUGGGCCUUAAUUUUAAUUUUAAUUUCUAGUCCAAUCGGUAAUCGCUUCGAUCUGUCGGUAGACAGAAUAGAAUAAUGGUUUCGCCGGUUAAACCAGUCGGCAAUCGGUACGAUCAGAUUGCAUAAAAGCAAAUCAUAAUAAGUCACGUGGCACAGUUUACACGGUUCGUAGACUCGUAGUGGUCGCCAUGUAAACAGCGGGAAAACAGGGCCCCACACAUAUUAACUAAGGAGUAGGACCAACAAAAUCAUCACCACGAAACGCAGCGUUUCCCCUUCGUCUCCGCGUUUAAAAUCUUCUUUCACCCUUUCGUCAUUUCGUCAGAUCCAAGAGAGAGAGAGAGAAAUCAGAAAAAGAUCUUGAAACGAUGCCGUACUACACCAGAGACGAGGAUGAAGUCGACGAUUUCGACGAGUUCGAUCCGACGCCGUACAGUGGAGGCUACGACAUCACCGUGAUCUACGGCCGUCCGAUCCCUCCUUGCGACGACACUUGCUACCCUCUCUCCUCCGCAGCGGAUGAAGAUUUCGAGUACGAGAGACCUGAAUUCACCUCGUACCACGAUCCUUCCGCCUACGCCGAAGAAGCUCUCAACCCCGAGUACAGCAGCUACUCCCGCCCCAAGCCCCGUCCCGGUUUUCGACCCGGUUCUGCCGGAGGCGGUCACGUCCAAGGUGAGCGACCCGAUCAGAGUUACGGAUCCGGUUACGGUGGUCAGACGGAGGCUGAGUACGGUAGGAGACCUGAAUCGGGGUACGGCGGAGCCACGGAGACGGAGUAUGGCCGGAGACCUGAGCAGAGUUACGGAUCUGGUGGAUACGGUGGCAGAUCGGAGGUUGAGUCUGGUGGCUAUGGUGGUAGAUCAGAGGUUGAAUCUGGUGGAUACGGUGGAAGAUCGGAGUCUGGUGGCUAUGGUGGAAGAACGGAGGUUGAGUAUGGCCGGAGACCUGAAUCUGGAUAUGGUGGGAGAUCGGAGACGGAGACCGGGUACGGAUCCGGGUAUGAGAAGAAACCGAGCUUCGGUGAAGAGAGGAGCGAGUAUGAGCGCAAGCCUAGCUAUGGAAGGUCUGAGGAUCAAGAGGAAGGAGGUUACAGGAAGCCUAGCUAUGGGAGAUCUGAGGAUCAGGUUGAGAGCUACAUAAAGCCCAGCAGCUACGGGAGGUCUGAGGAAGAGGAAGAAGGAGGCUAUAGGAAGCCUAGCUAUGGAAGGUCUGAGGAACAGGAGGAAGGGAGUUACAGGAAGCCUAGCUAUGGCCGUCGUAAUGAUGAUGAUGAUGAUGAGGAGCGCAGGAACCGUUCCGGUGAUGAUGAGGAAGGGAGCUAUGGCCGCAAGAAAUAUGUAAGUUCAAUAAGUUAAUUAUAUAAAGUUAUAGUCAAUUUGCAUCUAGAUUAUUGUGUGGAAAUUAAGUUUAUUGAUUGUUUAAACAUAAAACCCUUUUGUUGAUGGACUGAUCUCAACAUUGAAACUAAAGAUUAUAGUUUUGGUGAUAACAUCCAUUACCCCCUUUAACUUCAUUCGUUCAGUAUUUGAUUUAACAUUGACAUCUUGUAGGUUAUAACAAUCAUAGUACAGAACUUGCAUUGUGUUUUUUGCGUCUCGUUUGUUUUGAAAAUAAGUUUUAGUUUGGUUUUGAUCACAGUGUAGCGGUGUAACUCUGUUUUCACAUCCUGAAAUGGAGUUCCUUAAUUUGAAAGCUAUGUUCUACAAUCCCAUAAUAACGUUCCUGGUUCAAUGUUUGUUUGAAUAUAGACAUCUUGAAUAUGUCCCAUUGUUGAUCUUAGUGUAGAGUAGUCUCCAUGUUGAACUAAAGUGUUUGUCUUUCAUACCCUGUAACUCUGUUUUCACAUCCUGUAAUGGAUUAGCCUCGGUUGAAAGCUAAGUUCUUUGAUUGAAAUUGCACAUCAUGUAUAUGACAUUUGAAGAUCAUAGUUACAGAGUAUCUAUCUCCAUUGUUAUGGUGACCGUUAAUAGAGGCAUCACUGACUAAAGCUUUCGCUUAACGUUAUUCAUCUCUGCAUCAAAUUCUGUAGGGUGGCAAUGACUCUGAUGAUGAUGAGGAGAAGAAGCAGCAGCGUUACAAGCAUCACCACCACCAGAGGCGUCGUGAUGAAGACGAUGACUAAAGCCCUCACUCAGUGCUGGAAUCGAGUGCUUCUACUUAGCUUCAUAUUACUAAAUAAAAAGCUAAGGCAUAUUUAUCUUUGGAUGUUGUUGUUGUGUUUGUUUGAUUCUCUCUAGAUACAGCAGAGUCUGUGUCUGGGUUUGUUUCUGGUUCAUUAUAAGACCUUGAAUUGAUAUCGGGUCAUCAUCAUGAUGUUAAACUGUUGCUACUCUGUGUUUCGUUUUUAUUUAUGGAACUUUUCUCUUUUAUGGCUUCUGUUGUUUUGGUUUUGUCGAUAUUAAUAUUAAAAAUCAAAAGUCAUUGCCGAGAAGGAAAAAUAUUUUGUGGUAAAAGCUAGAUUCGAUUUUUUAUACUGAAUAUUUUAUGAUUAAAAACAGAAAAAAGAAAAUCGGUUUUGUAAUAGGAAUGGGUUAAUCAGAUACCUAUAUGUACAUUACACAUCUUUUUGCUUCAACAUCAGAAACUUACAACCAAACAAUUCUAAAAGAAGCAAUGUCAAGCGCUACAGUCCUCGAUGAAUCUAGCGUUCCUAGCCCCAGGAGUACAUGGAGGUGAGAUUCCACUAAAUAUAUUGUUAUGUAACAUAAGAUUUUUGAUUAUAAACAUUAUUAUACUGAAACGAAUUUUCUGGUUGGUUGCAGGAUGGACGGGCAGUUACGAUACGACAUUGCGAUGAACACCAUCAUUAUAAUCCUCAUCACUGAUGCGGUCUUACAUAUGACUCUGAGAGCCCACAAGAUUCCCCUUGCUGAUAACGUUGAGGGACUUUUAUGUACAUUUGUAGUUGCGUACGUGUUUGUCAUCACGACUAAUUGCGGGUAUUGGCUUACAGCAAGCGAGGAAGAAGGGUGUUUACUUGGAAUUUACAUCACGGGACGCCUUGGUCACACGUUAGGCUUUUGUAUUUUCCUCUGUCUCCUCUAUUCUAGUUCUCACUUGGCUAUGUACGUUGCUCUACCUUGUUUACUAUGUUUGGUGCCAGCCAUGUUUGCACCGUGUUGUCCAUGUCUGUGGAGAGGAGAGUCAACUUGGUGGAAUUUUGUGAAGCAACCACAACCAACAGUAGAUAUUGUUUAACUUUUGGACUAUUAUUAUUAAUAGAAUUUUUUAAUUCCUAAUUUUGUAAACAUCUCGUCAAUUGUUUGUUCUUAACUUUUCUCUCUUGCGAUCGGUGAAUUUUGUUUCCACUGUCUACCCAUAAACCUCGUGUUGACAUGUGUUUUGCGAUCUAACAAGAUAUUAUUAUGGUUUAGGGAUUGUUUUAGACAUCAAUCCUCUUUUGAUAUGGCUGAAGAAAAUUAAGAGUUCCUAGUCUUGAUUUGUUCCUGCUUAAUGUAAUUUGGGGAAAGUGAUCAUUUAUCUUUUGGUACAUUAUCAUUGUGUGUUGCAUGCAAAGUAUCAAUCUACUUGGAACUUAACAUUGCGUUAUUUGCAUCUAGCUUGUUUGGAAAAUAAGUUUUAAUUUGGUUUAAUCCCGUUGUUGAUCACAGUGUAGUGUGAUCUCAAUGUUGAACUAAAGAUAUCUUUAGUUUGUUCUUUAGAUUCUUUAUGAGUUACUACAAGCCUUUGUCUGCUUCCCUUUGGUUACAGGCUUGUCAUUACUAGUUGUAGAUCAUCAUUGAUUUUGCAGAACAAAAGAUGCAGAAGCUGUCCCAAAUAAGGACACAAGGACAUAAGUUUGUGCUUUAGAUCCUUUAUGAGUUUAUCUUCAGUUUUUGCGUUUUAGAUCCUUUAUGAGUUAUUACAAACCUCUCGACUCUUGUAAGGACAUAAGAUCUGUGCAUUAUCUGGUUACUGGCUGUACAAAGAGCUUGUCAAUUACUAGGUGUAGAUCAUCAUUGUUUCUGUUUGUUAAGAUGCAUUGAUGACACCUUACUCAUUGAUUCCCGAAACAAAAGAAGCAUAAGCUCUCUGAAAUAAGGCGUGGCCGCAAAAAUGCUAAAGUGUUGGUAUGUAGUCUAAGGCAUAGAUCGAAUAAAGCAGCGUUUUCCUUAUUGUCCCUUUGCUUUGUACAUUUUCUUAUUCACCAGAUUAGAAAAAUGGAUCUUGAAGCCAGGAGCCUUCCACCAAGCAUUAAUUCCAGCCUCCUUGUCAAACUAAGAGAGUUUUCAAGUCUGAUCUCAACAACUUCAAAAGCGAAGUCAAGAGAUCGAUGAGGUCAGCUGAUCGAUUGGGUCGAACCACAGACAGAAUCAAGAGACUGAAGAGCUUGGCGUCUCAGUCCUCCAAGACUUGCACAGUCAGAGACAGUCUUCCUCUCCUACGCACUAACGACACGGUAUGUGCUCUCUUCAACAAUUUUCUCUUACACGGGUUUUAUCAUGAAGAAGAAUACUACGUGUGAUUGGCAUCUCUUUUAACCAAUAGCUCGUUCUCUGAUACAUACAGCUUAGUGGAGUAGACGACAAUGUAGGAAAGAGCAAGAAGACCUUGACAGGCAUGACUAGGAGGAUGAACGGGAACAAAUGGACCAUUGGAGCCAUUAUCACCGCUUUGGUCGCCGCCAUUAUCCUCAUCUUCUACUUCAAACUCACCAAGUAAGCCUCUGUAUCUAAACUCUUUGUCGCUGAACAAAUGGUGUGCUGUAAGUAGUAACAGCUGAUGACGAGGAAGAAGAUAGAAGGAAGCUAAGACUCUGAGGGACAAAGAGGCUUCUGCAGUUACAGUGAAGCUACUGUAUAAAUAAUAUUAUAGAGGGAGUGAAAGAGAGACUUUAUCGAUGUAUUAGCUCAUGCCUCAUAGUUCCAGUUGAUACUCUAUAUUGUGAGAGAGAGUGAUACAGUUGUAUUGUGUGUGUUAUGGAUCAAUAGAGAUUUGGUUCAUGACAUCUGGCUUUUAUCUGUGUGAUAAGUUAUGUCUUUGCCACCUUUUGUAUUAUCACGUUCUCUUGUUUGUGUUUGCGUUUACAGUUGUGUAUUUUUAUACUAAAUGAUGCAGAUUGUUUUGUUUAUUAUUAAAAGCAAGCUUAAAUUACAUUUUAGACAAUUAGAACUUAAGCCUUGAGAAUAAGAACUAGUUGUGUGUUUUUCUUUCAUUCUUGAACCUGUUAUAAUCAGCGAGCAAGCUAUCAAUAACCUUACGCUUCAUGCUAUCCACCAAACCAGUCAAAAUCUGUAUAAACCUGGAAUAUAGCUGGUUCAUAAUAAGACCUUGAACUGAUAUUGGGUCAUCAUCAUGUAAACAGCUGCGACUCUGUGUUUUGUUUUUGUGCUAUGAAAAUUUCUUAUUUUAAAGCAUAACUUCUAUUGUUUUUCUUUUGUCCAUAAGAAAAUUUAUUUUGUCGUUAAAACCAAUGUGACCACACAAAACCACUUAUCUAAUCUAAUCUAGAAACAAUAUGAAACAAGCUUCCUGCCAAAGACAUACACCACAGUUACAACCACCUUUGAAAUCGACAUUCCAAGUAUAAACCAUCUUGGCCACAUGCUGUGAACAGUGGUUGAUCCUUCAGCUUCCUUACGCAGCUGUGAAGGUUCCAAAGAAGAGUGCGAUGACAAGCCACAGUAAGAACCAUCUAGUAUUGAGUUUUCUCCUCAGUGUCUCCGCUUUGUUGGCUUGUGGAGUUGUGCCAAGUUGAAGUACGUCGCCACGAAACCAAUGUUGUUGAGCAGGAGAUAGACAGUGUAACAUCGCGUGUCUCUGAAACGUAUGUAGCCAUUUGAAUCGAGUCCACUAGGUGGACUUGAGAAGGAAGCCACCGUGGUUAGGCCACCGAUGGCCAACACGAACUUGGUAAGUUCUUCUCGCUCUUUGUAAAGAGCCUCCAAAGGAUCCUGAAAUAAAUAAAGCGUAUGUAGCCAUGUGAUGUGGACUUGAGAAGGAAGCCAAUGUGGUUAGGCCACCGAUGGCCAACACAAACUUGGUAAGUUAUUCUCGCUCUUUAUUAAGAGCCUCCAAAGGAUCCUACAAUAAAGUGUACAAAUUUUGUAACUCAAAUCUUUUCCUCAUUCUCAGACAUCUCUCGUAGAAGACAUACUAACCGGUUUGCCUGAGAAAUAUAAAACUAAAUGUUUAAAGUACAUGCUUCUUAUAAAAUCAAUCUACAACUAUUCAAUAAAACUUGAUUUGCUUUUAUUAAACCCAUUAAAAGCAUUUACACACUCAAUCACACAACUAUACUUAAAUGCCACGACUUUCUCUUGUUCUAAAUAACUUUACGUCUUUACAUGUGUCUCAUUUGUAGACUUUCGUUACUACAUGUAACAUUUUUUCCAUGACUUUCAUGACCCGAAAUGAAGCUUUAAAAGUUCGUGAAACUAGUUUUCAAUAUAACAGUUCAUCAACUUAUCAACACAUUUACCUUAAUAUUCUAUGUUCCAAUAAAAUAAACAAACUUACUGCGAUUAUCGACGAAAUGGAGCUGAGGUUGAGGAAAGUCCUUGAUUUCCUAUCUUCAACAAAAAUAAAAAAGUAAAGAAAUGUUUUGCUAUUACAACAGCUUAUGUAGUGAUUCAGAUAAAACAAAAAAAUAAACACAACCUUCUGAUUGAUGCCACAUGAAAAAUGAUCAAUGUCUCUAAGCUUCUCAUCCUAAACGCCUUCCCCAUACAAUUUACAAAAUUUCUUCUCCUCUACAACUUUUGUCGUUAUGCGAAGAUGGUGACCCUCUGUUCAUUAAAUCGAUUGGGCUUUUUUUUCUUUCUUUUUUAGUAUCAUGUGCUUAAAGAUCCUAUUAUAAUAUUCUAAGUACGUUUUUCAUAGACGAGACAUCCCAAAUUUUUAUCUUUACUUUUCCUACACCAAUUCAUAGCUAUUUAUAUUUUGACGCAAACUAUAUAAAAUCGGAUCAGUUUACUCAAAACCCAGUACGUGGCUAAUCGUAAAAGAUACAUAGAAGUAUUCAACAAAUCAUUUCAUAUCAUUCAUUCAUUCACCCACAAAGAGCUCUCAAAUUGGUUUCGCAACUACAAAACAUCGAAUCCGUUCUUGGAUUAGGGUUUUGAGAUUGAGUCUCAUCAAUUUUUUUUGUUUCUUAUUGUAGAAAACUUUCACUUUGAGCUACAAGACAACUACUAGUGAAGGAGACCAGACAGUUCCAGAUCCGUUUCCAAAGUUGUUGGAUAAUUUAGGACCAUCUUUAGUACAUUUGUUCUUCGUCCCUGAGAAAAGAGGAGGAUCGAGUUAGGUUAAAUUUGCUACAGGUUAUGUCAAAUUGUGCGGGAGAAUGUCGGUAGUAAAAUGAACUUACUUAUGCACCUUAGUGUUUGUUAUCACACCUGAGUGUGUUGAGAUUCACAAUCUGAUUUUGAUGGAAGAAAGCGGGAAGAAACUAGUUAGCUACUUUCUUGAGAAUUCAUUUGUUCUCAAGAAACUCAUCCCGCGUUUUAGGGAUUCUUUAAUAUAUCUUACUCAGAUUUCUUCAAGGAGCUUCUUAAAUUCAGAAAGCGGUCUUGCAGUUGUCCGAUUAUUUUUCUUUGAGAAAUUGGCGAUUAGAGUUCAUUAUUUAUUUUGAUUUUGAGUAUCAUUGUGUAUGAAUUUCGUAUGGAUUGUAGAUUUUAUUAAAACCUGUUCCAUAAAGAUUUAUUUUUUGAUGGAAAAAGAGUAAACGACUUUAUAAGAUUUUGUUGCAGUUAAAAAUUAAAAGAUAAACAAAUAUAUAUUAUGUAUUUAUUUAUGAAAUAAGAAAAUUAAUUAAUACUUGAUUUGACAUUGUUAUCUUUAAGAAAUUUUAUACCUUCCAACAUGUUAAUAAAAUUGAUUACAUUAAAUAUAUCAACCGUGGCAGUUACAGCCCCCGAUUAAAGCAUUUGAUCUAGUCAGUAGAUUUCUUGGAAAUCAAGUUUCGAUUCCAUUUCAUUUGUGCAUGUUAAACGCCCUAGUAAUAGUUGUGCUGACUUCAAACAGAUCGGAGGCUUACUGAAUUUGAAUUUGGUCGACUUUGAGAAGGUGAACAAAAUUCGAUUGUGAGUUAUUUCAAAAACGUUUUUAUUGAUAAGAUGAAAAAGAGGUUACAGUGUUUGGACAUGUAAAGUAUAAAACACAAAUAUAAGUUGUUGUUUUUAACACUAGAUAAAUUACCAAUUACUAAUGAACAACUAUACAGAUAAUAAAGAGCCUACAAUACUUUGAAAUGUUCGAAGAGCUUUGCAUAUAAUAAUCUGUAAUAAACAAAACAUAAGUGUAAAAAUCUUUAAACAAUAACCAUUAAACUAUAGUGCUUAUACGAGUCGUAUUUGUUGAAAACAAAACAAGUAUGAGUCGUAUGACCUGAACAAAACAAAAUCGAAUAACAAACCGGAUCUAAUUGACCACUAACCGGAACCGGUUCAAUCGGGAAUUGACUCAAAUCCCAUUAAGCGGCGCAUCGCGAGAAAAAGAGCCAGCAACUGUUCAAAAUAUCUCAAUAGAUAGAUCAAAAAGCAAUCAUGGACACCAUCAUUCAUUAACAAAUAUCCUCUGAAACCUCCGUUUGAAUUAUUUCUAUCUUCUCACAUCGCAUCAUGGGUGCUUCAUCCUCUACAGAUAAUAAAGAAUCAUCGGAGAAGCGAGAAAUCGAAAGCCUCGCUGCUUCCACCGGUGCUCUUCCUCUGCUUCAACGAUUUUUCUCCAAGCUCGCCGAUCCUCAGACCAACACUGUUUCCUUCCAAUCAUUCAAGGUAAUAACGAUUAGGGUUCUGAUUGUUCUUAAAGAGAAUCUGGAUUUGCAGUUACAGUAGUUUUGGGAUUUGAUCGGAUCGUGAAUUAGUGUUUUGACACUGAGUUUGAUCGGAUCAUGAAUUAGGGUUUUGAGACGUUUCAUCAAUUUUUUUUUGUUUUGUUUCUUAUUGUAGAAAAGCUUCACCUUGAGCUACAAGACAACUACUUGUGAAGGAGACCAGAAAGUUCCAGAUUCGUUUCCGAGGUUGUUGGAGCAUUUAGGACCAUCUUUAGUAGAUUUGUUCUUCGUCCCUGAGAAAGGAGGAGGGUUGAGUUGGGUCGAGUUUGCUAGAGGUUAUGUCAAAUGCUGCGGAAGAAUGUCUGCCUCCAUGUCUUACAACACUCUGUUGAGAGUGUUUCAUCUGACAUCUCAAAACGCAGGCUUUUCCUCGAAGCUGGAGUUCGAAUCUGACGAAGCUGAUUGUAAGAUCAACGGGUCGGUUUCCACCGUAGAGUUGGUUAUGUUUCUGUGGAUGUGUUGGACGAUGUCGUGGGAUGGUCGAAGCAGUAGAUCCAGCGACUUGUUUCUUCCUGAUAUAAGCCACUUGGUUAUGUCAGCGCUUGUGUCUUGCACCGAGUCUGGAGCUAGUUUGGAUGUUUGGGAUUCUGAUGUUUUCGGAUUGGAGCUCGAGCUUCCUGUCGGGAAAUUCCUGACGUGGGCAUUGACGACGAUUCCAAGCCUCACUGAGUGUCUAUCUCACUUCUGCAACGCGAGGCUUCAGCAUUGUUUAAAUGCAGAGGUACUCUUUCUUUACCUGUUGCUUUUCAUUUAACCGUAUGGUGUUCACUAAAAGUGGAUUACAGGAUGGAUCUGGGCCUUCAAAGUCAGCUGGUGGAGAUGAUUCUGCGUCCAAGACAUGUGAUAACACUCUUCUAACAUGUGGAAGGGCAUGGGCGAUUUCUUUGACGUCCAAGAAUACCUUAAGUGAGGAGAUCUUGAGCUCAUGCUUUCCCUGCAAUGGCGAUGAACCCAAUGAAAAUCUUCUUUACCGGUAUCCCACUGUCCUACUUCUGUGAAGGUUCUGUCUCUAUAGUGUAACUUAACGUGUUCAAUGUUCAUCUGUCUUUCAGCUCAUACCAUCAUGGGAAAGGCAUGAAUCGAUUGUGGGACAACGUUCAAGGGUAUCAUGCUCCUAUACUAUUGCUAGUUUCUGCAAGCGGUGGAGUUGAGCAGGAGGGUAGUUCAAGCGAGAGGAAGUGGGUCAUUGGUGCUAUCUUGCAGCAAGGUUUUCAGAACAGAGAUACAUUUUACGGAAGCUCUGGGAACUUGUUCUCCAUUAGUCCUGUCUUUCACGCAUUCUCAUCUUCAGGUACUGCACACAUCAGAGAAUUUUCGUAGGCGUAGUCAGUUGUUUUGCAUUAGUGUAGUCUUAUAUGGUUUUGUGUUCAACUUCAGGGAAAGAGAAAAACUUUGCAUAUAGCCAUCUUCAUCCCUCUGGUAGAGUCUAUGACGCAAACCCAAAGCCUGUUGGAAUUGGUUUCGGGGGAACACAAGGAAACGAGAGAAUCUUCAUCGACGAAGACUUUGCUAAGAUCACAAUCCGUCAUCAUGCAGUUGAUAAAACUUACCAGCCUGGCUCUCUCUUCCCAAACCAGGUAACGCAAGUGCUGGUCUAUAUAUAUGAUUCAAGUUUUGUGGUCUUGGAUAUUUAUAACAUCUGUUGUUGCAGGGUUAUUUACCAGUAGAGGCUUUGGUGUCAGAUGUUGAAGCAUGGGCAUUAGGUGGAAAAGCAGCUAAGGAAGUUCAAGAAGCAUACAAGAAAAGAGAAGAGCUUUUCACUGACCAACGUCGAAAGGUAAGAAAAGAUCAAUAAGAUCUAUUUAUGCAAAUGCACAAAAGGACUUGCAAGUUUGACAAGUUGUUAUAUGUAUCUACAGAUUGAUUUGAAGACGUUUACGAAUUGGGAAGAUUCACCUGAGAAAAUGAUGAUGGAUAUGAUGGGGAAUCCUAAUGCUCCGGCUAGAGAAGAGAGGUAAUGAGUGAGGGGAGCAAGACUUGUUUGGUAUAUUUAUGCACAUACGUUUUCUCAAUAGAGGUUUCGUCUGUAAAGUAUAUAUUUGAAGAAACUCAUUUGCUGUUUGCGUAAGUUAUGUUUACUAUUAUCGUUGCCAAAACUCGAACCAGAGUGUUGAGUUUGAGAUUUACCCAAUAAAAAAGAGUUUUAUUUGAAGAGUUUUAUAGACGUUACAAUGAAUCAACAAGUAGAUAAUUGUGGUUUUAAGUUUCAACUAAGCAACUCUUUUCGUGUGAAAUGGUUUCCAGAGCUCUCUGCUUUCUGCUGAGAAUCAUCUCCAUCACUUUAUUCAUAGACUUGAUCUCCUCCUCUGCCUUCUUUAUCUUUCUUUCCUCCGACUCUUAUCUUCUUUCUUCUUUCUUCUUACCAAAACCAUUUUACUCUUUUCUUCAUCUCUUGCCUCACAGAUCCUACAACAAAGAAGGCCAUACCAAAACUUGGUUUUCUCUAAACCGAAUCAAUUUUAGUUAUAGUUCGGUUCAUCCUAACCCAAAAAAAAAACUAAAUGGCUUAAAAAUCGGUUAGACCUGAAUCUGGUUGCGUAAGCCUUUGGUAGAAGGUGAUGAACUUCAUAGAGAAGCUGUACAAGGGGGAUUAAAAUACUUGGUUUCUCUCCCAUUCAAGUUCCCUUACCUUUCUCUCACAUUCUUCUCUAUCCAUUCUCUAUCCAUUGUUCCUGUGUUAUUGUUAUUUUCUGGCCAUCUCAACCACCUAUGUAACUUCCCCAUCUGUUCUAGAGAAAUAGACCGAUGUAACUUCCCCAUCUGUUGAGUGGUACGGUAUUGUGCUCAAAGUCCCCUUGAAUACUAAAUUGGAAAUGUUGCUGUUGCUACGGUUUUGACGAUAGAAUAUAACUCAUAUGACAGGUUGGAAACUGAAUUAUUUUCUUUCAAACCAUGUCUUCAAAUCGAUCACAUUAGUUUUGGUUUUGCUUUUUGUUUCAAUGUUAAAUCAAUGUCCAUAAAAUUGGUUUUGUUCUUUUAUACUCUCACUAAAAAUAGCAGCAUUCUUAUUAAUAGAUGUAUACAUUGUGACAAAACUCAAUUCUAGUUAAUACAUCCUCUAUUUUUGAUGAAAAAUAUAAGUUAGAGAUGCUCUUACACAUUGAAUCCACAAGCUAAUGACCAACAAACUAGUUUAUUCAAAGUGCAUAAUUUACUAGCAAAACCUCCAUUAAAAACAGUGCUUGACAAACAUGAAUUCUCUCUUUCAAGCUCAAGAACAACGCUUAAACAAUAUAUGUAUCAGGUAGGAUUCAAAAGCUCUAAUCCGAAACAUGAAACAGAGUAUCACAAGGACAUGCAUAGGUAUUCAAAGCCUUAUCUGCUAUACUUCCUUUUAUCUGCUUUAAGUUUAUCCCUAAAAUCACACCAGUAUGUUGGCUCAUCUUGCAAAACAAGCCUCACCAGCUUCUUAUUGAGAAAAUGAAGACAUGAAUUAAACUUCAUGGUUUCUGAUCAAAAGUUGACAUCAAGAAAGAAACAAUACAAAUCUAUAUGUCCCAACCUGAAACCCAAAGCUUGAGACACAUAUCAAGAGUUAUACAUACCCAAAACUGAACAAGAGUAAACCCAAAUCAAGCGAGCAAGCAUAUCAUUGCUUCUUGUCUUCUGCUUUCCUCGGCUGCAAAAAAACAACAAACCAAACCAACACACACAAAGAUCAGUUCUCUCUUCCUCUCACAAUGAUAAAAUGUGUGAAAAGACAAACGGACCUUAACACCAGGAGCUUCUUGGUGAAUCUCUUCCUCAGGGAUGAUGACAGGCCACUGCUCCCCGGCUUCACGGAACAUCUGCUCCGUCUCGAGAUACUGCCCUUUAUCAAGAAUCAUCUUCCUGAUCGACUGAGCCGACGUGGCAGCCGCAUCGAAAGCUUCCUCGACACCAUUGACGAAAGUGACACUGAUCUGCGGUGGCUGAUCGUCGGUUCUGCGUUUCACCAGAACCUGACAGUUAGGGUUGGACUCUUUGGCCUUCCUCGCGUUGCACUGAGCCAAGAACUCGACGCAGGAGGCGAGUCUUGGGUCCAAUGUGUUGAACUCGAUCUUUACUUUUGAUAGGAACUUCAACAUCCUCUUCUCAAACCUAAAACAGUCAUUGAUAACAAAUCGUGAAGCGAGAUCUGAAGAUGAUUUCUACCAAAAUCUGAUAACCCAAUGAAAUUAAUAAGUAUACGAAAUUAAAUUGUGGGUUGAGAAGGAGAUCUCUGACUUACACAGGUCGACGGGGGCUCUCCGGCGAGAAUUGAUUUUAAGGGGAAAAUGCAGAAGAAACCGAUGCAGGUGGAAGGAAGACUGAAGAAAAGGGUUUUGGGCUUUCGACUGUGUAAAAGGACGAUAGUACCCUUAAUAUUUAUUCCCCUUUGCUUCGGUUUGGUUCGUUUUUCUGAUAGAGCCGCAGAGAAUUUUUGCAAUAAGGAUAGAUAACUAUUUUGAUUUUCUUGUAAUUGCAUUAACUUGAACUGAAGUACAAUGUUACAACGCUUAGGAAUCUAAAACAAAGCCCGAGAGAAAUAUGGGAGACACACUGCCGGCAAAGACACACCUUUCCAGAACCAUGACACUAAACAAGAGAAAUAAAGAAACUACAACAACAUAGACAACAAGAUUUUCAUCUAAAAACUUCAAUCUUUCCAUCAACACUGAUGAUAGGACCACGGCAAACCAACAUUGAAGAAAGGGAGAUAGCAAACCCCAACAGAAGUGUUAAAAACACCAGAUAAAGCACCAUUGGAAUAAAGGAUAAGGUGAUCUCUUGCUUAACCCUUGUCCCAAGGUAAUCAGAGACCCGGCGAAGCCACAAGUUCAAUACACCAUCCUACAAACAACUGUUGGAGACAACCACUCAACAAACCCAAACACUGGAAAGAGCAUGACACCUCAAAGAAACUACAAACCCCACUUCACAACCGGCAAGCGCAAAGAAGUAACCAGAACACGAACAACGCUCUGUAGCACCGGAAAAAAAAAACUGAUUUGGAGGAAGAAACAAAGCUAAUAUUGGAGCCACAAAGGAGACGACUCCCUUCCUACAGUUUCAUAAUGAAACACACCCGACAGGAAUCUGAACUUAUCAAGAAGAGGUUAGCAGCACAAAGGCAUUGCCCUCACUAGACGCCAAGAAACCCCAACCCGCAUGCGAGAACCGAGGAGAGGCCAGACCAGAACCCAACAACAUCAGAAGACUGCAUACCACCACACGAUCAGAGAACCGACGCAAAGACCAUCGAAAAGCAAACUCCACCAGAUCUACUACCACCCACAAAGAAAUAGGGAUGGCAAUAAAUAAUCUGGACCGCGGGCCUGACCCAUAAAGACUUACUGCGGGGCGGAAUCGGGCCACCUUGGUAAGCCCGCAAAAUAUAUAUGUAUUUUUUUUUUGAUAAAUGGUCAUGAAAACACACGAAGACAUUACAAAAUGAAGAUGCGAGUAUAAAUUAUACUAUCGUGAAAUUACAUCGCAGCUAUGAAUAUUACAUUUAUGUAACUUUAAAAUUUUAAAUUAUAUAUCUUCUUUGAAACGUUUGUCAUUUUUCUAUUAAUUUGGAGUAUUUCAGACCUGUGAAAAUCAUAAAUUUUAUCUUCUGUUUGGAUAUUUAAAUAAUCUGUAAAGCAUAAUUUCAUAUUAAUCUGUAAAGUAUAAUUUCAUAUCUACAAAAUCCUCUUGUAACCAACUAAACUAGAGAAGAAUUUAACAAAUAGUUGGCCCUUUAAAUACUUUAAUUAUCUAAGCCCCCAAGCACAUGCUUUACUUGCUUCCAUUCAGAGCAUCUAAAAAAAACUCUAUUUUGAAGUUUCUAAAACUCUAUAUUUGAAGUUUUAAGGUGUUUUUCUCCAAAAGCAAAACUUCAAACUUAACUUCAAAGCUAUUUGUAUUUUAUAAUAUGGUCCUAAUUUAAAUUCAUAAAACUUUUGUAUAUAACUAGCACAUAUGUAAACAUAUUACAAUAAUAUUAAUUAAUGAAAUAUUAUAUUAAAAUAUAAAAAUUUAAACAAAAUAACUUAACUAAUAUUAAACUUCAAGCAAAAUACCAUAUUAUUCCAUAAAGUGAUUUUCGUAGUGCAUAUAUGAUCUACUAGUGCAUUUUGAAUUAAAAAUAGUUUUCCUCAUUUUUAAUUUGUAGAUUAUAGAUAAUAAAUGUUGAAAUCGGGAGAUAUUAAUACUUGUAAAUACAUUAGAUCAGAACAAGAAAGUAAAAGACAAACAUAAAAUAUUUCUAAAAGACUAACUUUUAUCGAUGAUAUUAAUACUCGUGAAUAUAUUCAAUAUGAACAAGAAAGAAUUGUACGAAAAGAUAUCAUCAACAAAAACAACAACCAUCUUCAAUUACACCAAAAAACUAGACAAUAUUUGAAAUUUUGAAGGUUCCAGAUCAAACUUACCUAACUAUUAGUGUUAUUGUAUUAUUCAAAUUUGUGUAAUAGUUAUGUCUUUAUAUAAUUUUUUAAAAGUUUUUUUGUUAAGUUUCUUUUGUAUAUUUCUGUUAUAUAAAUCUAGUUUUAAAUAUUUUAAAUAUUCUUUUAACAAAAUACAAAUAAAAAUAUGAAACUUCAAAUUUGAAGUUUUGAGUAGUGAAACUUCAAAUAUAGAGUUUCACCUCUCAAAACUUCAAAUUUGAAGUUUUGAAGUUCAUUUUUAGAAAGUAAAAAGCUUUAUAUUUGAAGUUAUAGAGUGUCUUUUGUAGAUGAGCAUGGCUCUAUGUCUACUACUAUACUAUGUGAUUGUAAUUGGUUUAAGAUAUUUAAAGGUGUAUAGUGAUUCAGUUAUUGUUUAUGUAUUUAGGCAGUGCUGAAAAAUUAAUUCACGCAUGUUCAAUUUGAUGUUAGCAUUUUAAAAUCAGGUCGUAUGAAAGCAAGAUGAUCACCUAGACAAUUUUGAGUUUGACAUAACAAUAUAAUAUUUGAUAAAAUCUUUCAAACUUUGUUAAUAUGCUCACAAGUCAUAGUAUUACUAUUUGGUUGGUGGCCUAACACAUGUCUUUCGUCAUUGUGAAUAACAGUAAACAAAAUUGGUUUCUCACUUCUCUAGUUUCAAGAUAAAAUAUAGUAAUAAAUUUAAUGUUCUGGGUGGUAAAUUAUGAAAAAGAAGCAUCUCAUUAUAGAAACCUUUUUGGGUUAAGUAAAUGUUAUAAUCAUUCAAAAUUAGUUAUAAACUAGUAGAUUGCUGUCCAAAAAAAAGACUAGAUUAGGUCUAAGCAUUGCACAAGACAAAUGUAUUUAUUAUAUUAUUUAACUAACAAAUCUAUUAAAAUGCUAAUUCUACAUUGCAAAAUAAAUUGACUUCAUUAUUUUUUACAAAAAAUGUAACAAGAAUCUUCAUAUCUCACACGAACACAUGAAUUACAAGUCUACAACAGAUAUUACACCUCAGAAAUUCCAAAAGCAACCCGAUUCUCCCAUACCGGCUAAAGCGGAGGGGUCAGUACCAGUACCGGGGAACUGGGUUUCGUGACUGUUAAGCAACAGUUUCAUUAGCGAAUCAUUGUCUGUUAGAAACAGAGGAUCAGGGUAAAACAGAGGACCAGAACCGUCUUUGGACUCGAGAUGAAUGAGUCUUUUAUCUUCGGUUUCUUGGUCGGAGAAGCAGGUCACGUGAGUAGACGAACCAGGGAAGGAAUCUCGUUGAGAAGAAUCCAUCAACGAAGGUAAUCCGACCGGUUCAAUCCGGUUAACGUGUGAAUCAAGCAACAUUAAAUGGGACAUAUCAACCUUUGUACCAUCGGCACGUUUAUGGAAAACACGGCAAAUAACCCAAUCGUUCUACAUUCACACACAACAAAACAGAACACAAAAUAUCAAUUCAAUUCCACACAAAAAAAGACAAAAAAUGUCUUUGAUGUUAUUGUUACCUUAGCUGUCUGGGAGAGAUGUUGGAUAGAAUAUAUGCCUUCUAAUCGAUAUUCAUGCAUAACCCAAUUGGUUCUUACUCCUUUAGGAGCUCUUCCUUUGUAGAAAACCAGAGUCUUCUUCAUACCCACAAGUGAUUUCCCCUUGAAAAUCUCUUUAUCUUUGCCUGUGGCUUUCCAGUAACCGGCUUCAGUUGCCCGGUUUGUCCUUAAACCGGUUGGGUAUUUCCGGUCUCGCACACAAAAGAAAUACCAUUCUUUCUCCCCUAUCUUAGCUUUCCCUAUUUCACCAAAAGCCAUCACAUAUAUAUUUGUGAGUAAUAAUAAAUUACAGAACAAUAAUAACUAACAUAAAAAAGUUUAAAAAAGGUGGAAAAAGUUUAGAAAAGGCAUGAUACUUCAUGCAGUCUCAAACCAUUUGUAAAGUUUUGUGGAAUCAUGUAUAUUAAACAUAUAUAUUAUUUUUUUUUAACUUCAGAUAUAUAAAUUCAUAUUUACAGCUUUUGUUAUAGUACAAACGUUUUUUAAUUGCUGGAAAGGUUGUACACUUACUUGGUAACUCCCAAGGCUCGAUCUUGUUGAGAUCAACUUCACCAAUGGCGGUGGCAGAGAAGAAAGUGUUGAAGACCUUUUGUUUGAGAUAGUGAGUUAUGAGUUCUUCAUCAGUAGGGUGAAAUCUGAAUCCAGGUGGCAGAUCAAUUUGCUCUUCAUCUUCUACUAUUUCACCGAUUCUUGAUGCAUCGUAAUCCAUUUAUCCUAAUAAAGUUUAUUAGAAACAAUCAAAGUUAUGUAAGAGAGAAGAGAAGGGUUUUUGAAGAGAUGAAUAAAAGGGUUUUGAAGAGAGAGAGUGUGUUUUUUAAGAGAGAAGAGGAAAGGGUUUGAGCAACGAAGCUCCUCUCUAUAUACUAGUUUUCCAUCAGAGAAAUAAGGAAAUAAUAUUAUUAUUGUUGAUAUUGACCAAUAAUUGGUCAAUCUUUUGUGUAUCAAGUUCUUCUUUCAAAGUUUCAAACUAUGAGUUGUAUUGAAUUUCAAGAGUUUUUACCUACUAUAAAGAAAACUUUUAUCUUCGCUCUAAAUGAUUUAUUGUAUAUAAAUGGGUUUUCCGAUUUAAAUCUCGUACAGCCAUCAAAUCAUAUUAUAAAUCAGAAAAUGGGUGUACACACACAUUAACACAUACUAUAGUUAGUUUUCUUAGUAUGAUAGAGAAAGAGGAAGAUGCGUCGAUUGUUAGGCAACUUAAGAUGUGUAAUAUUCAAUAAUCAUUUCUCAUCAUUAAAAAUAAACCUUUCUAUUUCAAGAACUUUAAUAUUUCCAAGUUUCAAUUUGACCAGGAACACUUCACCUGUGGCUCCCUGUCCCUUUUUUGGUUAAUGUGAUAAGAACAAUCUUAUCACAUUAAAUCCUGAUGUUUUGUCCAUUCUUGAAACUAAUUAUUAGUUGCUGGAAAAAGAAUAUCAGUAGAAAACUAUGAUUAUUGGUUUGAAAACAUUUUACAUUGAAACUAUAUGAUUAUAUAAUUGAAACAUUAUAAAUUACCGCGGGUCACUAUUAUUGGUGUUGUGAUUCAGGAUAACUAUGAGAAAAGAGUUUACCAUGGUUGGAUAUAAUUUGUUUUAUUUACUUAACAAGUGUUAUCCCUCUCAUGAAAAGAUUAUGCAUGCAUGAACCUUGGAAAGUAGAUUCUUUAGUAUUAAAGGAACUCUUUUCUUUGUCCUAUUACAGUGCCUACCGUUAUAAGAAAUUAUAAUACUAGUAUGCAAGAUUUUUUAAAAAAGUUCAGUGAAAAAUUGGAAAGAAAAACGAUUUCCUUGUGAAGAUGGGUAAUGAUGAUGAAUGGAUGAGGAUUGUGAUGAUGAAAAUCUGUUAGAAUGUGAAGACAUUUUGAACAACCUCAACCUUAUCAUAUGUGAAUUAUUUGAUUUUUUUAAUGAUCGAAUCACGCGUUUGUGCAUACGAGGUUGUCAUUUGUCACUUCUACAACAUGUGCAUUUUAUUCUUUUCUAGCCAAAUUUCUUCCUCAGUAUUUUUAUUAUACUUGCUGUUUAAAUCCUUAUAUAAUCGAUGUAUUGGUAUUUUUAAUCAACUAUAGUUAUCAUAAAUUGGAAUUUGGAUCGAUACUGGAUAUAUAAUUUAUAUCUUUCUAUUGCACUCUUUUCUUUUCAACUAAUUUCCCAGACUCAAAAGAGAAAAGAUACAUAAGUUGCCAGAAAAAAAAUCAAUGUAUGUUUCACACUAAAAGAGCUAAUGACAAAAUUCAUAGUACAACAAAAAGAAUAUCAAUUCUAGAAGGCCAUAAAGCAACACUCAAGUGAUUGAUGGAACACGUGGAUUUUUCAAAUUAUGUUCCUUCUUCUCAAAAACCCGUUUAAGUUUCCUUGCCUUUUUGACCAAAUUCCCCAAUCUAUCAUUUGUCAAGUUGCUCCUCCAAAAAAUUGCUUAUACUCUUUUUAACAGAGAUGAGUAGGGUUACAUAGACAAAUUGGUUAUAUAUAUUAGGGGUGGGCAAAAAACCCAAACCGAACCGAACCGAACCAACCAAACCGAAGUUAAACCGAACCAAACCAAACCGUGCUCUUUAUGUAACCCAAUUGGUUCAUGUUUUACUCAACCCGAACGGUUUGGUUUGGUUUGGGUUUAAACCGAACCAAACCGAACCAAACCGAUAAUCCAAUAUAUAUAUAGUAAAAAUAUAUAUGAUAUAUAUAUAUGUAUUAACAUAUUGCAAAUUUUAGUUAAAGUUUCGUUUUUCAUUUUUUCAUAACUUCCAUAUCUUUAAAAAAAAUUAUAAAUACGAUUCAAAUAAUACUAUUAUAUAUAAAAUCAUGUAGCAUAAGUUUUUAUAUUCUCACUCUAUCGUUUAUGAGUUGAUUAUUUUUUAAUAAAAGUAUAAAACUAAUGCCUUCAUAUUUUAUAACCAACCCAAACUACACCGAACCAAACUAGACCAUAAUAAUGUAAACCAAACUAAAUCUAAACCAAACCGAACUGAACCGAACCGAAUUAAACCCAAACCGAACCCAACCCAAAGCUACUUUGGUUUUAAUUGGUUUGAGUUUUAUAAAACCCAAAUUACCCAAACCAAACCGAACCCAAACCGAACCCGAAACUAAACCGAAAUGCCCACCCCUAAUAUAUAUAGGGGUUAUUUGUGAAAUAACCAAAAAAGAGUAAUUAGUAUUUUUUAAUGAGAGGUUAGAAAGAAAUAGGAAGAGAAAUGAGGAAAGAGAUGGUUGUUUUGGUUAGAAAAUGAAUUUGAGGUUUUUAUGUAUAUAGGGACAUAUUUCCCUUAUAUACUUUUUGUUUUCAAAAACAAAAACCAAUAUAACUACCGCAUCAUUAUUUUUCAGUUUGUUACUGUGAAUGUUUUUGAUUUGAACGCCAUUGACUAGAUCAUGUCCAACUUCUUCAUGACCAUUAUUCCACUAUCUCUUUAUCAUGGCCUAAAACCUCGCGCAUUCAUAUCAAAAAUCUCAUUAGAAUCGAAUUGGAGAGUUUUCAAAACUCUAAUGCUUCUCCAUAUCAAACAUCUCAUUAAAAUCGCCAAAUAUUAUUCACUACUUCUUAGUUCUUACCUAUUAUGGGAGAGUUGUGAUGAUCCAUCAGUUCCCCAUAUAGAACUUCUACCGUUAUCGCUCUUCCUCGAAGUUAGAAGCGUAAAGUGUUUUAUGAUAAAAAGACAGAAAGGAAAUGGGAUGGCAAGAAACUUAUAGAAUUUUUGUUAUGAUCUAUAAUACAAUUAUUAUUACUUCGAUUUGUUUGAUUAUUUUUUACUCGUGGUUCUUUUACUAAUUGAUUAGUUAAGUUUGGCUACACUUGUUGUCUUAUAAGAUUGAUAUCGUAGAAAAGUGAGAAGCUUACAAAUCAGUUUGACGUUUUUGAUUGGGACUCGGAUAUAGUGGAUUCAGAGGAAGUGGAUGAAGAUUUCAUUGUCGACCUAAUGACUCUAUCAACUAGCAGACUUCUUUAGGAUAGGUUGGUGGCAAUUUCUGAAAUGCAACAGAGAUGAAUGCUACUUUAAGCUCAACUCAACUAAGGCAAAAGGAAGUCGAAUACAUAGGAAACAUGGUUGACGUGGUGGGUUUGGCUAACCUCACUAUGGUGACCAUGGAUAUCCUCUAGAUAGUUUUAGCUCUUGCCCGUUUCACUUUUAAGCAUUCAAGUUGCUUACUUGUUGCUUGUAAAACCUUUUCUAAAUUGCAACUGUUGGCUUUACUGUUGGCUUAAUAUAUAUGUACAAUGAGAAGGUCUAUUAAUAUUCAAUGGUGUGAGUUCUUCUACACACAUUUUCUUAGUGUGAGCCCGUCCCGUGCAUCAUAAACGUAGACCUCAUGUCGAAGUAGAACAUUCAAUUAUUUUUAUGAGAUGAGAGCAUAUAUCUACUACGAACAAAAUGCAUAUUAUUUUACUAAACAAUUGGGACGAAGAUAAUUUGUAUUAUUCGUUCCAAGUCCAACUGAGACAUUUUUUGCCAAUCAAUACAUUAUAUUAAAAUCUUCAAAUGAAGAUGAUGCAUACAAUACAAAAUUGAAAAGAUAAAUGGAAUGAUAAAAAGUUAGAAAAGAAAAGUAUAAGCCUAACAUCCAUGAGUCUCUAGCCUACUUCAAUUCUUGAAUGGAGCUAAACCAGACUUUCCAGUGGUAAAUAAAACUGAAACGUUCUUCUCGAUUAAUUGAGAUAUGUUGGCUAUUAACAAUGAUGAGUUCAUUUGCUAAGAACUUUAUGCUAUUUUUUUUUUAAUCAAAAUUUCUAAAGCUAAUCCUUUUUUCUAACACCUUUCUAAAGCUAAUCAAUCGUUUCCUUUUGUUUUAGGCUUUUAGCAGUUCUUUCCUUUUCAGGAAAUAUAAACUAAAUUCUAUAAAUCUUUUGCUACUUGGUGGUGCCAAAACCACGUGUCGCUUGAUUUUUUGAAACGGCAAGAGUUUCAUACGUAUCGCCAACCCCAACCUUCUCUUGGACACGACACAAGUAAGACGAAUUCCAAAAUAGACACGUGUUUGGAUACAAAUGGGAGUUAAUAAGUAUCAAACGCUAUUCUUAAUUAUCGUAAUUCAGUUGCUGAAAAGAACUGAUUUAGCUAAUUAAGUGGAAUUUCACUAAUUAAAGUUUGACCAGCUUCCUGAUUCGAAACAUGAGUUGCCAGUGGGAACAAACACGACUCAAAACUCCGUUACCAUGAUUCUGUGCAAGACCCAAUGGAGGAAAUGAUGGAUGCAGACUCUUCAGGAUGAUUGCAUGAACUUUGACUGACGUAGAAGUCCGGUCCACAGAGAUCCUAAGAGUUUUAAAUGUUGUUUCGAUGAGUAAUGCAUAACACUAUUAAUUAGUUUCCAAAAUUGGACUGGUUAAGGUAUUCUCAAGAUGAGUUAUAUUGGGUGCUAGUAUUGUAUAUAGGUUUAUUCAGUACGCUAUAUCUUUUUGUGGCGAUGUUUUGUCCUGAGAGAUUCUUUUAUCACUACAAGAAAACAGCUUGUUUCCUACAGACGAUUUAGUCGAAAUAAGCCAUUUCUGAUGAAUUUCGUUGGUUCUAUCUCGUCGAAAAAAAAACGUUUGAAUUUCGUCGGAUUUCUGACGCAUUUCCGACGGACAAAUUUCCGACGAAAUACCGACGAAUAAAUUUCCGACAAAAUACCAACGGAUAAAUUUCUGACGAAAUUCUGACAAAUCUUAUCCGUCGAAACUUUUGUAAACUAUUUUUAAAAUAAAAUAAAUUUUAUUUUAAAUAUAAUAUUUAAUGAAUUACGUAUAACAAAUUUUAAAAAUCAUUUAUAAUAAAUAUUUUUAAUUCUUUAUAUAUAAAUAAAAUAAAAUUUAAAAUUAGGAAAACGUUUUAACUAAAUCUUUUUUGUAAUUGAACCCAUUUCCUAGAAAUUAAAAACAUUUUAAUUAAAUCUAAAAAAAAACAAAAACUUUUUAUAGAUUGAAAAGGUUUAAAAAAAUGUGAAAAACGUUUUGAUAAUCUUUAGUAACCAGAAAAUGUUUUAUAAAUUAUAACAAACAAUAAAAACUUUUUAUAAGAACUUAAAUUUUUUUUUUUGAUGAAUUUUUUUUUUAAAGUUUAAAACGUUUUAUAAAAUCAUAAAAACGUUUUAAAACAACAAUAAUAAUAAAAACUUGAAAAUGUUAUAUAUAUAUUUAUUUAUUCUAAUAAAACUCCAAAAAUGUUUUAAAAUUUGAAAAAACAUUUUAUAAAUAACAAAAAAAAGAUUCACAAAACAACAAAUUAAAUAAACAAACUACAAAAUCACAAGCAAAACCUAUCUAAACCACAACAUAACAACAAAAUCUAACAUCUAAUUCAUAAUAUUCUUCAUCCUAACAUAAAUCCAACAUUCAAAACCUUAAAUUCACAAUUUCACAAUCAAAAAGUAACAUAAGUCAAAUGAGAAAAGGAAAGAGAUGACUUACAUAAUUUGUGAGGUGGAUUUGAGGAGUUUGAGCUUAGAAUCGUUGGAUUAGAGAGAGAGAAUCAAAGAGAAUUUGUGUAUGUUUAGAGAGAGAGAGAGGAGAAGUGAGGAAGAAGAAGGGGCUUGCGCUUUUAUAUUAAAAAUUUCUGACGGAUUGGAUUCAUCAGAAAUCCGUCAAAAUUUUUUAUUUUGACGUUUCACGAAAAAUUAGGCAGGGUUUUUCGGGGCAAAUUUCAAUUUCCGACGAAUAUACCAUUUUCGUCGGAAAUUCGCCGGAAUAUAUCAUUGUCGUCGGAAUUCGACAGAAAUAUAUUUGUCAGAAAUUUCCUACGAAUUUUGAACGAAUUAUAAUAGCCAUCGAUAAUAAAUUGAUGACUUUUAGGGUUUAAAAUCUUCAUAAUGUUUAGAAACACUUGAAAACACACAAACUAAAGAUUGCAAGAUGGAUCACCGAAAAGUAUUUGCUUAAGUGUAUAAGUGUUAACGAGAAAUAUUAGGUAUCCGUCCAUGCAUCAAUCGCAAGAAUAUAUAUAUAGCUUAAAUAAUUGAGGCAAUAUUAAUCUACAUCAUAUUUAUCACUUAAUAUAUCCGGAUGAACAUUUAUUUUGAAUAUUUCAUAUCUAAACUCAUGGUCGUCGAAAAUUCGUUGGAAAUUUGUGUCGAAUAUGCUACGAAAAUUUCGCAAUCCAUCAGAAUUUCGUCGGCAAUUUUCUAGGAAGAAAUUUGUCAAAAUUUCGUCGGACAUUUCUGACGAAUUUCCUACAGAAAUUUUUCAUUUCGUCGGAAAUCCGUCAGAAAUUUCUGAUGAAUUUCCGACGAAAACAUAAACCCCAAAUCUAUACCCUAAAUCGUGUAAUCUUCCUUGGGAGUCGUCGGUAUUUUGUCGCUUAUUUUUGAUGAAAGAAAGUUCGUCGGAAAUUCCUAAGAUAUUUCCGACAAAUGGUAAAAUUUUAUAUUUCUCGAAAUCCGUCAGAAAUUUCUCAGAAAUUUCCGACGAAUAUUUCUUCCGUCAGAAAAUGAAUAUGUUUUCUUGUAGUGUAUUGCACAUGGCCAUUUGCUAAUAAUCCAGUUUUAUGGAAUGGAUCUUGUGUGUUCACGAGGUUCAUGUGGCAGUCUUUUUCAACGAUUGGGACUUGGCUUUGUUUUAACUAGUUUUUCUAGGUGUUCCGGAUUAAUGAAAAUUCUAAGUUGGAAUUGCAGAGGACUCAGGAGUAAAUGGAUUAUUAGUUAUUUGAGAGAAAUUAGGGGGAAAUAUAAACCAGCGUUUCUAUUUUUAUCGGAAACCAAACAGCAAUUUGAUUUUGUGCAGUCUUUUUAAUUUCAUUUUGGAUAUUCUCAUCUCCAUACGGUUGAUCUUAUAGGGAGGAGUGGUGGGCUGGCUCUAUUUUAUGAUUCCACUUAUAAGGUAUAUAAACUCUUCAAGCAACAUAAUUAUAGACGUCGAGACAAAAUAUAACGGAAAAUGAAUUUUUAUUUCACUUGUUUAUGGCGAGUCAAAUCAAAAUUUUAGAGACCAGAUUUGGGAGAGGCUUACAAUAGGGAUCUUGAGGGACGAACCAUGGUUUAUUAUUGGAGACUUAAAUGAGAUUACGGGUAAUCAUGAGAAACAAGGAGGAGUUCUUAGACACGCAGAUACGUUUUUACAAUUCAAUAAUAUGAUAGAGAACUGUGGUCUGAUGGAGUUUCCAAGUCUUGGUAAUACUCUUUCUUGGAACGGAAGAAGAGCUGGACAUGUGUUAAGUGUCAACUGGAUAGGGCAUUGGCAAACAAUGAAUGGCAUAAUCUGUUUCCUUGCUCUUUUGUUGAAUACUUGGGUAUGAUUGCCUCUGAUCACAGGCCGAUUGUGGCAUCAAUAGAGGAUAAAGUACUAAACUUUUGACGGUAAUUUAGAUUUGAUAAAAGAUGGAUAGGUGAGGAUGGACUGAUGGAAUCUAUUGAACGUGGAUGGUCCACUCAGAGGGGUGGACGCCGCAUGGGUAUAGUAGAUAAAAUUCAUAAUUGUUGACAUGAAAUUUCUGUUUGGAAAAAGGAAAAUCCACCUUAUGGGAAGGAAAAAAUAAAUACUCUUCAGAGGGCUCUGGAGGAUGAUCAAAGCGAUUUGACAAAAUCUCUUGAAGUAGUGAUUGAGGUGUCCAGGAAACUAAAAGAGGCAUAUCGAGAUGAAAAAUUAUAGUGGGAACAGAAGAGUAGAACUUUGUGGCAUACAUGUGGAGAUAGAAAUACUAAAGUAUAUCAUGCUUUAACCAAACAAAGACGCAUACAAAACAUGAUUAUUGGUUUAUAUAACGAGGAUGGGGAUUGGAUUAAUUCAGAAGGUGAUAUGGAAAGUGUGUCGCUUAAAUAUUUCAAUGAUCUGUUCCAGUCUACCCCGCCUUCAGAGUUUGAUAGGUUUCUAGAGGAAGUUCCAACUUGGUAACAACUGCUCAAAAUAAUAGACUAACGGCUCAUGCUUCAAAGGAGGAAGUUAGGACGUCAUUAUUUAUGAUGCACCCGGAGAAAG